RNAcentral lists this long non-coding RNA (60407 nucleotides) under Coffea arabica (coffee). RNAcentral's name for it is "long non-coding RNA (CARA_LNC001971)". The record is from RNAcentral. Lineage: Eukaryota; Viridiplantae; Streptophyta; Magnoliopsida; Gentianales; Rubiaceae.
CAGAGUAAAGGUAUUUUUCUUCCUCCUCGUCAUCCACGUCCUUGGUAAUUCCUUGGAUAAGCGUGUAACUGGAGGAAUUGGUCAAGUUUUUUCUGAUGAACUCUGGGCUGCCAGUUACGGCUUGCCAUGGUUUCGAUGAGCACCUGAAUCUUAUGAGGGUCUUUACAGGGAGUCUUGAAAAAAUUUCUUCAAUUAAUUCAUCUGGGAUCAUCAUGUCAGACAUCGUUCAAAGCUUGUUGCUUUCUCGGGUUAAAGAUGAUAAUCUUGAUUAGGGCAUCAAUGUUUCUACGAUUAUGCAUAUGAUCAAUAUAUACAUGGAUGAGCUAUAGAAAUAAGAAGACAAUAUGUGGUUCUAGGGACUAAAAAGGGAAAGAUUUUUAUGGUUUUUACAGAAUUUUGGAGUAUAUUAAGUGGCACCUAUACUGAUUAAGUACUAAUUGAUGUAAUUUUAGAUUUGUCAGCUUAUAUACAAAACUAACACUAACAUUAAGAGUGCAUGGAGAAACUAUAGAAAAAAUGGAUCAACUCUUGUGAUUGGGCUCGUUUCUCUUGCUGAUUUUAAGCCUAUGUUCUGAAUCUCCAAAAAAAAAAUACCGUAGUUUGAUCCAAUAGGGGAAUGGGUAAUGUCAGAUUUUGAGCUUGUAUUCUUGAUCUCCGAAAAAAUUACCGUAUUUUGUUCCAGCAAGGGAAUGGAUAAUGUACAGUUCCUGACAGUUCACAUAUAACAGGUACCAAUACCAUAAUAAAAUUAUUACGUAGUAUAUUAGUUCACAUACACAUAAAACUUGAAUGCUAUAUAUACUUUUUAUCGUUAAGAAUCAAACUUUUGAUAAAACUUAUAAAACCUAUGUGUAAAGCCAACUUAGUACAUAUUUUCCUUGGUUGCUGAGUGGUUAUGCUAGAUUCAUGAGUAAAAGAUUAUGUCUCAUAUUGAUUCGAGGGAUGGAGAAGCGUAAGUAAGGGUCUAAUACCUAAUUACUUAAACUUUUGGGUCAAAGUUGAACUCCUAACUUACAUUUUAGACUCUUUGGUGGACUUUCUCAAGAUAUUUCUCCUUAACAAGUGGUAUCAGAGCUUCUGGUUGUGAGUCUGGGUUACUCAUGGCCAAGUGGAUUCUUCUCAUAGUUGAAUUGGUGAAAAUUCUCUCCUUGGAAUUGGGCCGGUGAAAAUUCUUUUCUUGAUAGUGGACCAAAUUGUCAAGGAGUUUGGUUGAUGUUGGACUAGAUACACCAUGGGUUUGGCUAGGGUCCCAUUGGUCUAUGAUUCAGAGACAAUACGACCUUGGGUGUUGGUGGACCGAAAAGAGCUUCUAGUUGUGAGUUUGAACUACUCAUGGAAAAGUGAAUUCUUUUCGAAGUUAGUCCAGUGAAAAUUCUCUUCUUGACAUCAAAGUAUCAUGGGUUUGGUUGGAGGUUCGAUUGGUCUAUGAUUGGGAGAAGAGACGACCUUAGGUAUUGGUGGACAGAAGAGAGCUUCUAGUUGUGAGUUUGGACUACUCAUGGGAAAAUAGAUUAUUCUCGAAAUUGGACCGGUGAAAAUUUUCUUUUUGAUAAUAGACCAAAGUGUCAAGGAGUUUGGCUGAUUUUGGACCAAUGUGCAAUGAGUUUGGCUGGGGGUCCGAUUGGUCCAUGAUUGGGAGAAAAGAUAAUCUUUAAGUGUUAGUGUUGAACCAGAUGCGUCAUGAAUUUUUCGAGGGGUCCGGUUGGUCUAUGAUUGGGAGAAGAACUUGUAAAUUUCGUUAAAUAUGGAUUCAAUAUGAGGGGUUAAUCAUGAAAGGGUAGCUGGUGUUGGACUAGCUGGGUCAUGGAUUUGGCAGGAGGUCCGGUUGGUUCAUGAUUGGGAGAAGAGGUGACAUUAGGUAUUGGUGUUGAAUUAGAUGCGUCAUGGGUUUACCAGGGGUUCGAUUUAGUUGUUAAGGUGAACUUGUAUUAAAUAUUAAAAUGGGUUUGGAGAAGAGCUUGUAAUUUAUGAGUAAAAGAUUAUGUCCCACGUUGCUUCAAAAGAUGGAAAAAGAACGAUUAAUAUGUAAGAAUUGGAGACCUAAUAGCUUAAAUUUUUGGGUCAAAAUUGGGUUAUUGACUUACAUAUUGGACUCUUUAAAGGGAUCUCUCGAUGUGUUUUCACUAAUAGGUUAUCUUCUACUAAAUUUAAAAGCAUUGUCUCUUAAGGAAAGAAGAAUGUCUAAGUGCAAUAAUUAUUAGGGUGGAGUUGCAAUAUACAGUACAACUCCUUCAUAUGUACAUACACAUUAGUCGAGAAGGAAAUCCAUGCAAAACAAACUAAUAUAUUUCUUCUAAACACUAACAUAUUGUAAAGGAAAAAGUCACAAAGGAACCAAACACACCAAGAGACCUGCUUUGGCUUCAAAUGUCUAUUUAUUUAAUGUCAUGACCCUUGAGCUGUGUUUAGACUAAGUUGGAUCAGCCAAUACAAAAACCAACUAAUAAUAUGCAUCCAUCAAUAAACAUUUUACAAAACGCAAAAGUCAUAACAUUUUUUAUAAUAAUUAGAUUACAUUGUCAGAGAAUUAGUUCACAUCGAUACUCCAUAGCUAGAUAUAUUAAGAAAGCUUCUUAAUGUCCUCAUUCCCAGCAAUUUUGAAACUUUCUAAUGCAAGAGAACAUAUCUGCAAGUAAAAACUAGGUUAAACAUCGUUGAAGAUAUCAUAAAAGAGAAAUUUAUUUAAUUCACAACUGUAGAAUUUUGGAAAAAAAAAAAAAGGUCUUUCCAAAUCAGCAUCAUGAGUGAAUAAUAAGUGGGCCAGUAUCUACUUUGCUCUCACAAACAAAGAGGAUGGCUGCAAAAGAGCUUGAAUGAAGAAGAAACAUUUUUACCCCAAAAAAAAAUCGGAAGAAGAAACAUUUUAAGAGAGCAGAGCUAAGGAAGAAUGGUGGCCAACAAUAGGUGGUGCAGGCUGAAAAUUCAACUAUCACAUACAAGCUUAAGUCUCAUAACAGUGAAAAGUGCACUGCUAGUUCCGAUGCUUUUAAAGAGAUCUGAUAUCUUACUUCCUUGCCUAAUGUGUGCAAAAGGAGUAAAAGCUUUAGGUGAUAGCCAACUAAAUAUGUUGCAAACAUUAACAUAGAUGUUUGGACGUCUUACUUCCAUUGUGGUUAGCAUUGGUUGCACAAAAAGGACGAUAGGCCCUUGCUUCAUAUAAUGUAAAGCUAUAUAUAUAUAUUAACAUGGAUAUUGUUUGGACAUCUUACUUCCACUGUGGUAGCACAAGUUGCACAAAAGGACGAUAGACCCUUGCUUCAUAUAAUGUAAAGCUAUAUAUAUAUAUAUAGCAUGUAAAGGAAUGGAUCAAGUCCUUUUUCCAAGAUUUGUCCUCAAGUCAUAUAUAAUUAUGAAACAGAUGUAAUAUUUAAACACGAGAAUACAUGUACAAACUAACUUCUAUUCUUUAUUUCAAAGACUGAUAGAUAUUAAGCAAACUUAAUGCGAAUUGAUCUGAGACCAGUGUUAAGAUGCUAAUGAUGUUUCCAGCAAAGGAAAUAAUUGUUUCUGUUAUGUGUAAAAAGAAAAAUAAAGGUUUACUGAUUACUGCUAUGAAAAUGGGGCUGAAAAUGCAGGCUCUGUUUGGAUCGGCGAAUUUUUUAAAUACUAGUAGUUGUAGUCAAUAAACAACCUAUUAGUCAACAUAAUGUGCUCAAAGGUCUACAGUAAUACGACAUCGUUUGGGUGAGAUAUACGAAAACACCUGUUUCCAUUCUAUGAAAUGCAUUCGGCUAGCAGUUGUAUUUCGAACACUUUAGCUAUACCGUUGGAACCUCCUGCCCACUUUGGAGUAUUUCCCGUCGAUGUAAUUCGUUUGCCAUCACCACUUGUAACCUUUUGAGCUCUACCACCAUGUAGCAGCAUGAAACACUUCUCAGAAGCUUAGUAGUAAAUGAUAUCUCGGAUUCACUAGAGUUGAGCGACGCAUCUCCAGGGAAAUCAGCAGCAGCUAACACGGGGACGGAAAGGAGGUGGUCUGAAGAACGGUGCGUGUUUACAAAUUGUGCUCAAUUGGCUUUGUUCAAUACCUUGCUCAAUACAGCUCAAGUUUAGCAGAUCCCCAUUCGAUCUAUAGGAGGUAAUUAAUUUGGGAAUGUUGCCGUACAAAUUAGGGCUGAAUUUUGACAUUCAGUUUUUGGCUUUCUUUUAGAAUUUUGAGUACUGAGCUAUCACCUAUCAUACAUUAUCAAACUUUUACACAGAAGGCACUUGACAAUUUCGAUACAUGUUCAAUAUGCUAUCAGAGAAUCAGUAGCAACUUUAGAUAACAAUUUCAUAAAAUUGGUUGAGUUGUUGUUUCUAUUCUUGGACAUUUGGUUGUUUUUGUUUGGUUUUGAGGUUCAUACUUUAGUUCAUGUCAAGUUGUAGGCUUGUUUUUUCUUUUCUGUAGUCAGUCAAGCAGAUUCUCACUUUCUCUUCAAUUAUUCACGACAAUUGCUACAGUAAGAGUAUGGUAGCUUAUUAGUCACCAGUGUCUGUUUCUCUUCAAUGACUAGCUAAUGGAUUUUCUGUGGUGCUUGUUUGGCUUAUCUUGGUCCUGAACUCAAAGGUUAUGGACUACUUUAGCCAUGAAUCCAUUUUUACUUUGUCUUAGAACUGAUGCAAUUUGUUUCAAUUCCUACUUUUGUUACGGUGGAAGGAUAUUUGGAUGCACUAGACAUAGCAAAAAUUUUGUGACUGUUAUUAUUUGGUCAUUAAUGACUAGAUUAAGUGACAUUGGUGUGGAAGUUUAAAAUUGCAUGGAAAUGCUACCUUGUCUAUUAUGGAAAUCACAUUUAAUCUAUCUAAAUCCUAAAUAUUAGACUUUGUAGUGAAGAAGCUCAGAACAAAUAAUUAUAAGCUGUUUGAAUAUUUGUUGAGUAUGUAUUGUGAUGAAUGACAGCAUUCUCCCAGUGUGCUUGCCAUUUUUAUUCAAAAUACUUAGCUAUGUCACAAAAACUAUUUAAAAACUGUAGAGUUUUGGUCUACCUUAGCAGUAAUAUGACAGACCGGGCUUGAAUAUGAUGUUUUGCAAAGUUUGAGCUGUCUUCAUGCUAAUUCGACUUCAUGGCAUUCCAUUUGCUUAACGUUGCUGAUUAUACCCUAAGCUUUGAGGAAAACAAAAGCCUAGUUAUGGCAUAUAACCUUGGUGCAAAUGUUACAUUGUUACCUUGACUUACAUUUACAGCUGUUUGCUGUUCGAAUUGCUGUUACGCCUAAAUUCCUGGUCCUGUAUAGUUACAUGUCAGGGCUGCUUAGCAAAAAUUGCUGUUAGGGAAUCGUUUAUGGCACCUGAAGAAUGUUUAUUGGUUUAUGUUCUUGCUUAUGCUUUUGUUUCUGAUUCUGCUGUCAAUUUGGUGUCUUCACCUCACAUUCUUCAAGCUGCCUUUUAUGUUCUAGUGGCUAUAACAAUCUAGAACCUUGCAACGCGUUCAUAUGCACCAUUUAGGGGUUAUAUAUCAAUUUAGCUCUUGUUUUAAAAGUGUUAAACUGCUCGUUAUUGUGCCUCUAAAAGCACUCAACAAAGCAUUUGGUAUAUUGAUUUGGUAACUGAGCAAUUUGUUGUGCUUUUUUGGCUGUGUAAAUCUGCUUUAUUAAGGCACACCUAAAUCACCGUUAUGGUUCAAUCACAAUUUCUGUUUAAUUAUGGCUGCAAGCGUAACUGUUGUGCAUUUGGCUGUUGACCAAAAGCUUCCAGGAUUCUUGCUCUUUCUGACCUUUUUUUUUUUAAUAUUCUUCAAUCUCAAACAUGCUCACUUGAUCAGCCUAUAUUUUCAUACAUUGAAUGCCUCACAUAUUUCAUGUUAGGAGGAUUAGGGAAUCAACUUUGCUACUUAACUUGGCUUUGAGAUCGCCGAUUUGUUUGAUCCACCCUGGAGGUAUCCUAGUACAACUAUAUGCCCCCUUUGACUUGGCGUGCUUGGAAGGGUAUCAACUAAGUGCAGCUUGUCUAAUUUUUAGAUGCAUUUUCAUAGAUUUGCCAACUUUAUCACAGCUUUGCAAAGAAGUAGGGGAUUCAGUACUUGUUCGUCAAAAUCAGCUCAGGGAGAAAAUGAUCUUCAACUUUGCCUCACCAACUACUUCAAGGUGAGUUAUCGACAAGAUCCUACACUUAAUCAAUAAGUCAAGGUUGCCUUCGAUCAUGAUAUAGAUGAAUGGCACUUCACCCUCUGUUGUUGUUUUUUUUUGCGUCACCUCUAUUUUUUAUUUUGCCAUCCAAAAGAAAAAAAAAAUGAGUCAAUCGAAAGCGAAGUAUAUGGAACGUAAUAGUUUCACCCCGGAACAAGAAAUUGCAUUUGCCUAAUACCUUGUCCAAAUGCAUAGGAACGGAGAAAUUGUGUUUGUGAGGCACCGGGGGUUCCUACCCCAGUAUAGACGCUCACGACAUCCAUUUUAUCUUUUUUAGCCUUAUGAGAUGACAUCUUAUUUAUGUUGGUUCAUUUUCCCGUGGAUAUUAUUUGAGGCUUGCUUAGGCAUUUAAGUAGUAUGAGUUUGUGCACUUAAAAAAUGCUUAUGCCACUGUAUCACGGAACAAUUUUAUUAGUUUCUUCCAUUUUUUCGUAGUUGUGAUAUGAAAGAAUGUUGCCACGGUUGGAUGUUCCAUUUAUCCUUAGCUACCACAUAUCCCCAUUGGAUAACUCUACAGUUAAACUAGUUAGCUUGACUGUGCAUUUGGAUGGACUUGGACUUGAAUACUUGUUUUGAAUGCAUUUGAGUUCAGUAUAACUAGUUAAUAUGUUUAUUGUCAUCUGUUGUCGAAUCACUCAUAUCCGAUAUUAUAUGGCAUAACUUUAAUAUUGGUCCAAAUUUGUCUUCUAGAUUACAGGUUGUCCGAAUAAUCUUUUUUUCUUGAAAUAUGAAAUUGGCCUCAUGUUCUUGAGUAUUCUUGCUUUUAUAAAUAUGGACAUUUUUUUAUGUAUAAAGUGGUGGCUUCUAGGGAUGCAGCAGGUUUGACAACUUUUUUUUCUGUAUUUGGGACAUUAAUGUGCAGGGAAUCGACCGGGAGUUGUAGAGAUAGCUGGUGCCAACUUCAUGGAUAACGACAUCCACAUUUAGGGUGGUCAACUGGACGAUGAGAGAGAUGGUAUCGAUCUAGACCAGAUACUUAUGGCGGUUGUGCCAUUCGGCAUGAUUUUUUUGACCCAUUCAUUAAUCCUACCCCUAGAAAAAGAAGAGUUCGUGAUAGUGCACUCUCCGGCAGGGAUUACGUGCUUGAGCUGAUAAACAGCCACCGAGAUAGAAUUAUCGAGAACAUGCGCAUGGAUGUUCCCCUUUUCCUGCACCUGUGCGAUCUAUUGGUUGAGCGUGGUUACUGGCAUGCCUAUCCUUCUCAGAGAGUUGGGAUUCAUGAGUCCAUUGCUUUAACGCUAAUGCGCUUGACCAUGAUGAGUGGCAUCGGAUUCUAGCUGAUUGCUUCCAGCAUUCAAUGGAGACAAUUGAUCAACAUGUACAUCGUGUCCUGCGAGCAUUGGUGCGACUUGAUCGUGAUCUCGUUAGGCCAAGAAAUUUCAAUGACACGCACCCUAGAAUUAUAAAUAAUCAAUUGUUUUGGCCGUGGUUCAAGGUAAAUAACUACGAAAUGGUAUACAUCUUUAACAAUUUCGAAAUUCGUUUAGAAGAUCCUAACUAUGUCAAUUUGCUAAUAGAAUUGUGUUGGAGUCUUAGAUGGAACCCACGUCUCGGCUUGGGUGAGAGCAGAGAUACAAGAGAGGUACAGAAAUAGGUACAGUGGGUUAUCUCAAAAUGUUCUAGCGGUUUGCGAUCAUGACAUGCGAUUUGUUUAUGUUCGAGUCGGUUACGAGGGCAGUACCCACGAUGCUAGAAUUCUCCGAAACACCUUGCUUGAUCUAAAUUUAGGGUUUCCAAUGGCACCUGAAGGUAUGCCACCCUACUGCUAUUUUUCAUAUGUUGAAGGAAACAACUUCACCCUAUGUGGAAUUAAUUGUGUUGCCUGGAUUGCUUCGGCUCAGUUAUGUAGUUAUGUACAUUUAACUUAUAACACUGACUCUAAUCUUAUUUCAUGGUUGCUUAGGAAAAUAUUAUGCGGGGGAUACUGCAUACACUAACAUGCCUAGGUUUAUGGCACCUUUUAGGGGUGCUCGUGGCACACAGCAUGAGCGAGCAGUUAAACUUUGUUCAAUCGGCGGCAUGCUUCACUUAGAAAUAUUAUUGAACGAACUUUUUGAAUUCUUAAGAAGCGAUUUCCAAUAUUCAAAGGUCCAAUGCAGAACUAUCUAAUAGCAACUCAAAACAACAUUGUGCUUGCAUGUUGUACGCUGCACAACUUCAUCCGAGAUAAUAUGCCCAAUGAUAUGUACUUCAACGAAGAAGCAGCCCUCGGUGCCUUAGCAGAUGCACAGGAUGCAGGGAAUGAAGUUCAGGGAGGUCAAAAUUUCGAUUUUUCACAGUAGGGCAUAGACAACUGGAACGAAGAUCAGCAGGCAAUAGCGGCUCACAUGUAUCUCAAUUCACACAAGUAGCAAUUCGCCAUUGGACUAGCUACUAAUUGUUAGCUACUAGGACAUUUAACAUGCUCAUUCUAUCAUCCGUUAUAUUCCUUUGAGAUACUUUAGUUCAUAUGAUAUUUGGUUGUGUAUGGGAUCAAUUAUUUGGACGCUCUCUAGAUUAUUUCCUUUUCACAUUUCAAUUUGACGUUGGUAGCAACUCUUGAAUUAAAGUUCGCUUCAAUUGUUAUGGUACUAAUCUAUCCAUUUUUACGAAUGAUCUGACCAUUUAUCUAAAAGUCACAUAUCCUUUUUUGAAUACUAAGCAUGCAAUGGCUAAACAGGGGUAUAUUUAUACAUGCAUGGCAGGUAUGUUCAAGCCAAUAUCAUCUGUAAAUUAAUGCCCAACUACAACGCCAAUUUCCAUGAUUCGAGGGUAGAAAUUAAUUUACCGGCGAAUGCAUUUUAUGGAAUAUCAAAGUGUAGUUGUUUUUGAAAUAUAGAUCAAUCCAACCGUAGAAGUUUUUCAAAAACAAUGAGUUUUUGAAAAACAACCUAUCCAAAUGACAUCAACAAUAUUUGAAAAAAUGCUACAGUAAAAUUUUUCGAAAACACCCUAAAAAAUAGCCAAUCCAAAUGGAGCCGCAGUUUUACCCAAAAAAAUAAAAAUCUAGCUCUCGCGAUUCAAAAAUGCAGCAGGUCUAAAGCUUUUUUGGAUAAUUUCAAAAACCUCUCCUAAGGUUUAUAACAAUUUCAUUUAACUUUUCUAAUGUUUCAAAAAUUACACCUAUUUCCCCUGCUAAUUUAAAAUGAUAAUACUAAUCUUAAUAUUUUAAUAAAAUUUCCUUGUUGCCAUCUUUAUACAAAUGACGGAUUUUAUAAUUUGUUUCCUAUUCCCUUCUAUUUCAUUUCUCUUAUAUUUCAUUAGAAAUAUAGAAGAACUAUCAAUAUUGUCCCAAACCUCCAUCUUGAUCAAAUUUAAAUUAGUAAUAUUUUUUAUAGCUUUUAAUAUCAUUUAAUUUUUUUUGCAACUCUUUUUUAUAUCAAAAUUAAGAAUAAAUCAACAAUAAUUAAAAACAGUGGAUCAACAUCACUACCAAACCAUGAUAGUUCCAUCAUUGAACUAGUCCAUAAACUUUUCAUCAAAAAAAAAGUCCACAAGUUAAAAAAAAAAGAUAUCAGCUUUUUCUCUAUCUAAAAAUAAAAAAAUCUAUAUCCCCAAUAAAUAGGGAUGGCAACGGGGCGGGGUUGGGGCGGGGGACCCCUCCCCCAUCCCCCGCCCCGCUGCCUACAAACUCCCCCCGCCCCCAUCCCUCGCUCCCCCCGCCCCGCUUUCCCCGCGGGUGUCCCCACGGGGCUAAUAAAAAAUUGUUAUAUAAUUUUAUUAUGGUUAAAUUUUAGCAAAUAAUCAAGUACUAAAAUAUCAACACAUCAUCAAAUUAUUAUUCAUUGUAAUUUUAUAAUUGAAACUUAUAAAAACAUCAAAUAAAAAUUAUUUGAAUACAAUCCAACAUGAUGAAAUAAAUAUAACUAAAGUAGUCAAGUUUUCACUUUUGGCACAAAUACAAUCACUAAUUCAUUAUUGUGCUUGUGCUUUUUUUAAGAAAAAAAUGUUAUUGUAUUAAGUGUAAUUAGGGAUUUAGUAUAAAUGUAUUAGUAAAUUUAGUAUAACCAAUUAAUAAUUUGUAUUAGUACACAUAUAUAAUUAUUAGUAUAAUUAAUAAUAUCAAUUAUAUUAUAUAUACUAAUAGACAUUAUAUAAUACAUAUAACUAAUAAUAUCAUUAUCAUAAGUUUGUAACUAAUUAAAUUAUAUAUUAUAUAUAUAAUUAUAUACAUAUAUAUUUAUUUUUUUAAAGCGGGUGGCGGGGCGGGGGUACACUUCUCCCCCCCCGCCCCGUUUCUAAGCGGGGGGAAAAAAAUUCCCCCUGUCCCCACCCUACCCCCCGGCCCAGCCGCCUCCCCAUUAGCCCCCCGCGGGGCGGGUGACCGCGUUGCCAUCCCUACCAAUAAAUAGGGAUGGCAAUGGGGGCGGGUGCCCGCUGGGGGCUCUCGGGGCGGGGGUUGGUUUCCCCCCGCUUAGAAACGGGGCUGGGGGCGGGGGAGUAUACCCCCGCCCCAUCCCCCGCCCCGCCACCCGCAAAAAAAAAAAAUAUAUAUAUAUAUAUAUAUAUAUAAAUAUAUAUAAUAUGUAAGUUAAUUAGUUAUAAACUUAUGAUAAUGAUAUUAUUAGUUAGAUGUAUUAUAUAAUGUAUAUUAGUUUAUGUAAUAUAAUUGAUAUUAACAAUUAUAUGAAUAAUUAUGCAUGUCUACUAAUAAAAUUUAUUAAUUAGUUAUACUAAAUUUACUAAUACAUUUAUACUAAAUUUCUAAUUACACUUAAUAGAAUAAUACUUUUUUCUCAAAAAAAAGCACAAACACAAUAAAGAAUUAGUGAUUGCAUUUGUACUAAAAAUGAAAACUUGACUAUUUUAGUUAUAUUUAUUUCAUCAUAUUGGAUUGUAUUCAAAUAACUUCUGUUUGAUUGUUUUUAUGAGUUUCAAUUGUAAAAUUACAAUGAAUAAUAAUUUGGUGAUGUGUUGAUAUUUUAGUACUUGAUUAUUUAAUAAAAUUUAAUUAUAAUAAAAUUUUAUUAACCCCGCGGGUGCGCCCGCGGGGGAAGCGGGGCAAGGCGUGGGGAGCAGGAAACGGGGGACGGGGUGGGGGACGGGGGGAACUAAUAGGCUCCCCUGCCCCAACCCUGCCCCGUUGCCAUCCCUACCAAUAAAGUACUAGGAUAUUCAUUAAAUUUUUGACCCUAUUUUAAGGUUUGGUUACCAAAAGUGUCAAAUUAAGGGUAAUUUUUUUUUUUUUGUAUAAUUUUUAAAACUUUGAGAUAACUAAGUGAAACAGUCAUAGUCAGAUGCCUCAGGUGAAGUUUCUGAAAUUUUGGCGGGCUUUUUAUGGCGGGCUUAAACCUUAGUCACACUGCACUCCCCUUCUUCAUUUACUUCUGUGGUUCCACCGUCCCGUCGAUCUUCUGUGGUUUUCCGAACAAACGCCACCGCCGCACGUAGCCCUCCUCCCCUGCUCCUCAUCUGCUGACCCUCUCUACCCAGCACGCCAGUCCUCCAUCGGAAAUUACCUCCGCCAUUCUCCUCUUCCUCGGAUCGUCUCAGCCACUCCACCUCCUCUGCCGCCGUCGUUGUCUUCCUCCGUCUCAGCUCGUCAUUUGCCUCCAAUGUCUCUCCAAAAUAAUUAAUUUUUUUGAAUUUUUUCUGUAACUUUUGAGUUUUUUUUUUUUUUGACUUUUUAGUAGGUGGGAGUUUCAAUGGUUAAGAUUGUCUUGCUGAUUCUAUUAUCCCUCACUUCAGAAACUCUAUUCUUGAUCGCCCAAAAACUUUGAACUUUUGGUUCAAAUUCUCUUUUGCCCUUUCAUUUCUUAGUUCUCACCCUUCCUCUGUUAGAUUUUUUUUUUUUAAAGUUCACAUUCUUGAUCAUAUAUGGUAAUGGGUUUUGGUUGAAUGGAAUCCUAGUAAGCUAAUUAUUAUCACUAAUUUGACCACUAUUACUCUUUACUAAAUUAUUUCUUGUGCUUUUGAUGGAAGGAUUUAGUAUCUAACUGUAAAUCUUUCAAAAGUAAGAAAUAUUGGUGGAAUUAGAGGAAUAUCGUACUUGACCAAUUUUGAAUAUAGUGACAUAUGAUUAAGGUUUAUGAAUUGGAACAUAACUUGAAAAAGUUGUCUUACUUGGGGACUUUGGAGUAAAUGCCCAAAUUCAACAUGAAUUUAUAGAAGGGCACCAAUUUCUCACUAGCAAUAUUGAAAAAGGUUGCCACCAUAUUUCAAUUUCACGAAUUAGGUGUUCACUAAAUGAAUGUUGAUAUAGUAUACUUAGAUCAAAAUGCAGUUUGUAUAAACCAUACAGGGAUGUACUUAGACAAUGUGCAAUUGACAGGUGAUACAAUCAAAAUAAAUUUCUUUUUUCAACAAAAGAAAACAAUUUGCUUUUUUUUUUGGUUGUUGACAAACGAUUUGUUUAACAAUUUAUUUUAAGUGCAUAUUUUAAUCUAUUCAUUAUCUCUUCCAUAUAAAUAAUCUAUAUGCUUCAUGGUGUUAUUUUGUACUUUAACUUCCUUUGGAACAGUAGUUUUGAUUGGAGACAAACUUUAGUACUUGACAAAGGUAGGUGAUUAUUUAAUUUGUAAAACUACUGACAUUAUAAAUUCGUAUUGAGACCAAACAUUGAUGACACCUGUUGAUUGUUGUUUAUCACUUAUUGCUUUAUUACAAUACUUAUACAUUGGAUCAAUAUCAUGACCAUGAUGACUUAUCAAAAGAUCAUAUUGAGACCAUGAUGUGUUUUAUUGCAAAGUUGUGCAUGUGAACUAACACAAACAUAUACAAGCCAACAACUUUGGAAUCUGACUAUUGCUACUUCACAGAUUUGGUAGGUAGAUUUUCAAAAAGACAAUACACUGGUGGCCAUUCAAAGUGAUAAUUUUAUAUAACAAUAUCAAAAUAUGGUCUCAUAGCCUUGUGAGAAUUUAAACCCCAGGUACAAAAUUUGGGUUUAACAGAGUUUAAGAGUUUGCUAAGGUUAUCUAAUAGCCUUGUAACUCUCAAAGAACGUAACUUAUUUUUGGGGAUUGGUUGGGUAUUUUGUUUUUGGGCUUUGGAACGAAGUUUAGGUUCUGCUUGGAGAAUUAUAAACUACUUUUACUGGGAAUGAUUUGCUCUUGUUCUGUUGUAUGAUUAAUCUGUUUCAACCAGAGAUGGCAUGCCUGAUUAAUAUAUAUUUGUUUGCCUGUGCAGGUUGCAAAUGAAUUAGUAGCUGAAUUUGCAAAUCCUAACAAUAGUCUUUCAUCUGUAGAUCAGGUUUGUCGAUUUGUUCUUUUUUUUUUUUUUAUCAUUACAUGCUUUCAGUUUCUGCAAUUUCUAGUACCUAACACAGAUGAUAAACAUGAAAGGUUCUAAAUUUUGUAACCUUCCAUCUAUGAUUGAAAUUUAACAUGGCUUAUGCUUUUUGUUCAUUUGAAGUUGCAUAGAAAUAUCAAACAGCAGCUCAAUAAAGCCAAAAGGAUAAGAAACAAGUAUUGGUUCUGUCCACCGUUAAAGAUUUGAUAAAUGAGCAAUUAUUACCAACUACCUUUGGAUAAAAUGAAGCAAAGCAACUAUCUGUCUUGGAUGAAAUAAACUAUUUGAGUCUACUAAUUUUGGAGUACUCAACUAACCUGCUCAUUUGCUGCUUGGCAGAAGGAAACUACAUAAAUGAUUUUUUAAUAAUAGUUACUUGUGGUAAUUUAUGCUAUUUAAAAUAUUUUUUAUCUUACAUUCACUGAUUAAAUGUCAAUUAUCAGGAUAUGUUAACCAUGUCCUCGCAGCGUCCCAUAGUAGUCCUACUAUAUUGGGGAGGCAAAAUUAUUUUGUCUGGAGAAUCUAUAGCGUAUGAUCCUCCGAUUUGCCAAAAAGUUCUCAUACUGAAUGAACGAAUAGGUUAUGAUGAGUUGGUUAAUAGGAUCUAUAAUGCCAUGAAACUGGACCGAGAUAAAUUUAGAGUCCACUUGACAUUUAGAAACAGAGUAGAAUAUGGCAAUGGCUUUGCCAUAUUUUUUGGUAUGCCACUGAUGAAUGACAAAGGAGUUGAUGUAUUCUACUACCUGAAAAGUUCAACACCAGAAUAUGCAGCUGAGAUUUACAUUGAUGUUGAGGACCAACAGCAUGUUGACCAGACAAACAUACAGUUGGCCCUAAAUACAUAUGCACAAUUGAACUCCUCGAAUAUUGCAUCCCAACUGGUCCAACCCUUUGUAGGUGGUACAGGAGGCAAAUAUGCUGCCCAAUUUGCACCAUCAAUCAGUGCGGCCCCUCUAGCAUCUAAUGUGAAUCGUAAUAGAAGUAGUGGGCGCUACAAUGAGAGCCAUACCAUCCAGAGGCACUUGUCUUGGUUGACUAAGCUUGCAGAAAAUCAGCACUCGGAACUACCUACAUUCUCUGCUCCCUCCACAGGUGAGCCUAUUGAUCUGAUAAUUGAUGAAGUAGAUUCUGAACCGGAACCAAGUGAUGAUGAUUCUGGUGAUGAUAACCUUGCCAAUGAUGGAUCGGGCUAUGCCAGGGAUGGUCAAGCAAAUGAUCAUAUAGCAUGUGAUGAAGGUUCACCUUGGCCCUCUAAUGUGACAACAUCACUUCAGGAUGAUGCCAGUGUUAAUGCAACAUUGCCGUUUGAUGGGGGAAAUGGAGGUCAUGCAGAGCACUUGAAUGUGUGGAACGAGCAUACCAUGGACCUACGGUUGGGGAUGUUAUUUGACAGCAAGAAGCAUGUUUCUAGAGCUGUGAAAUUAUGGUCAAUCAAGCAAAAUAGAGAAUAUGAAGUUUGUGAGAGCAAACAAAAUACGUGGUUUGUAAAGUGUAAGAACCGAAGCUCCCACCCACCUUGCAAUUGGCAGUUAAGGGCAACUCUGUGGCAUACUCAGAUGAUGUGGAUGAUUGUUUCUUUUGUCAAGAGCCACACUUGUGUUCGAGUCUCCAACAGCAUUGACCAUACGCAGUUAUGUUCUAAUAUAGUAGUCGAGUAUAUCAUGCAUCACCUUAAGAGUUGUCCUAUUUACGGUAUUAAAGAAAUUCAGGCAGCAAUUAAGGAAAUGUUUCACAUUGAUAUUUCAUAUAGGAAGGCAUGGUAUGCUCGGCGUAGGGCUAUUGAUCUGGUGUACGGUGAUUGGCCAACAUCCGUUUCUCAACUGCCUAAAUACAUGAAGGAAUUAGUUGCAACCAAUCCAGGUACUGCUGUAGUGUGGAUGCAUCACCCUCAUAGCCAUGAUGGGAAUUUCAUAUUUGACUAUGUAUUUUGGGCUUUUGCUCCUGCUAUUCAAGCAUUUCCACAUCUAAAGCCAGUUGUAUGUGUUGAUGGGACUUUUAUGAAGGGCCCAUACAAAGCCAAGUUACUUACAGCCGUUGGAAUUGAUGCCAAUAAUCAUCACCUACCUCUCGCUUUUGCAUUGGUCGAUGAAGAAAGUAAUCGAAGCUGGAAAUGGUUUAUGAGACAGCUUUGAGUUCAUGUAUGUCAUGAUAUACAGGGGAUUUGUGUCAUAUCAAAUUGUCACAAAGGCAUCAUAAAUGCCAUGAAGACGCUAGAUGAUUGAAGGGAACCAGUGGCAAUGCAUCGUUUUUGUUUGGAUCAUGUGCUGAGCGAGUUCACCCAAAAAUUCAAAAACCAUAGGUAUUAAUUUUGCAUUGCACUUUUUCUAUUCCAUUAUUUAAAAAUGCAUCUUCAUAUGCUUUUUGAUGUCAUGUUGAAAUUGUCUAGAUUGAAGAAUCUGUGCUGGCUUGCUGGAUAUGCCCGACAAGAAUAUAAGUUCGACAAAUUCAUGAAUCAAAUAUGGGAACUGAAUCCCAAAGCCCAUGAAUGGUUGAUGAAAAAGGCAGUCGAACCCAGCCAGUGGGCACUGUCCAAAGAUGGCGGAUACCGAUGGGGCAUCACAUCAACAAACAUGGCAGAAUACUUCAACAAUGCCUUUAGGGAUGCUCGUUACUUGCCGAUAAAGGCAUGUGUUGAGUUUACAUUCAAUCAGACCAUGGAACUGUUUUUGGAGAGUCGAAAAUUGCUAAGUGAUUGCCGAUACCCUCUGCCAAAGUAUUCUUGGGACAAGUAUGUCGCCAAUCAACAUAAAGCAAGAGGGCAUGAAGUGCAGAUUUUCCACGAGGCCAAUGGCUUUUACACGGUUGUCACAGGUCGUCGUCCAAAUAAAAGAGGAGGAAAUCCACACUAUGUCAAUUUUCGACUGGGCACAUGCAGUUGUCAGAAGUGGAAAGAAUUACGAUUUCCUUGUUCUCAUGUGAUAGCUACGUACUAUAGUUUAAGUAUGAAUCCAACAAAGCUGAUUGGAGAAGUGCACACGUUGGAUGCAUAUGUGCAGACCUAUUCGGGUAAAUUUCAACCUUUAAGGCAUCCUAGAUAUUGGGCAGUUGUAGAUUGCAAUUUUACUAUACUGUCCGCUAGAUUGGCAAAGAAGUGACUAACUAGAGUUAGAACUGCAAAGAUGCACCAAAAAAAAAAAAAAAAAUGGACAGCCGUUGUCCAGAUGCACCAAGGCGAUGCAGUCAUUAUUUUGCUGCUGGUCACUAUGUUUCGAACUAUCCAUUUUGACUCAUAGGGAUUAUUAAAGGGUGCCAGACAUGAGUCUUUUUAACUCGAAGUUUAUACAUGGUCAUUUCUGUUUAUAUGUAGUUGGCUGACUUUCUUUCAUUUGUCCACGGAUCAUGUAUUUUGCUUUCUAAUUUAGAACUUUCAUCAGUCGAUGUUGCUCAUACCUCGGGGCUAAGUUAUUAUGUGUUUACGUAUGGCCAUUCCACAGUCCACACUAAUAUUCAAUGUUUGCUGUCAUGAUGUCAUUUUUAAUUGUAUGAUGUUGAAUGUUUUGUUGGACAGGUUUGUAUCUUUGAGGUAUUGAUUUAAAACCAAACGAAACUCUGCCUUUUUUUGAGUGGAAAUUAAGACAAUCAAUUUUAUAUUUUGCGUGGCAUGAUUGUGGUACUUUACUGUAUAUCAAUGUUGUGUGCAUCAUAUCCACUGUUAUCAUAUAAAUUGGGCAAAUUUCACUUUACCUCUCUGUGGUUUAAUAUUUUUUUUAUAUAAACCUCCUACGAUUUUAAAAGUUAUACAUAACCUUAUCAUGGUUUGGAUUAAAGUAUUAAAUUGACGGAAAUGAUCAUUUGUAACGGAUUCACCUAAAAUGUCAAAAAUAUCUUUAUAUGAAGUUGAAAAUUAUUUAUUAAUCAAGGGGGGUUAUGUGUAUAUUUUAAAAAUUAUAAGGGGUUAUAUGGUAAAAUAUAAAAAUCAUACGGUAUUAGUGUGUUAUGUAUUUAUAAGGGUACUUUCGACAUUUUUAAAAGUUUCGUUACGAAUGACUAUUUUCAUCACUUUAAUAUUUUAAUUCAAAUCAUGAGAGAGUUAUGUAUAACUUUUAAAACGCUAUAGGAGUUAUGUAGAAAAACACUAAACUACGAGGGAUAAAGUGGAAUUUGCCCUAUAAAAUUAGCUUUGUUAAUUUUCCAUAUGCCAGCAGGCCAUUGUAUUUUCAGAUUUUGUUUGGUUUUAAAGGUAGUUUGUCUUUUCCAAAUGACUGACAUAGACAACCAUCCAAGUUUAACAAAGUUAUUUUCGCCUUACAACAAUGCUCAAGUUAAAUACAAAAACUAUAGGUGCCGGCCUCUUCAGAAGUUUGUUUUAUGUCAAGUCGGUUUAUCUUACUCUUACUUCUAUUUUCAUAUUUUGACAACAGACUUUUCUCCUUACUAUUAGAGAUGGAAGUCAAGCUUUAUUAAAAUACUUGCAAUUAUACGAAAAAUGAGCAAAUUUUUAAUUAGGGAAUUGGCUAAUCAUAAAUCUGUCCAUUUUACUUAUUAACAAGAAGAAAAAGAAAGAUCUGCAUGAUAUAUAUACAUUCCCUAAAACAACAAAAGGGGAAAAAAAACACAUCUUUAUAAGCCCUUAAUAUGGAUUUUUCUCCCAAAAAUUAAAAUAGGGUUAGUAAAUUUUGUUUAAUAACCAAAAUUGGUAUUAGUGAUCAAUAGAGGAGAAGUGAUUUAGUUGACUAUUAAAGAAAACAGGAAGCCUCUCUAGUUUGCUUGAAUGGCGAGGCAAUUUUGGUGAACCAAAACAAGUUUUAAUGGAGGAAAUAAGAGAAAAACGAAAGAAAGUUAUAUCUAAACUUUUUGCUAUAUUUUAUGAUGAGUCUAGCAUACUUUCUCAUUUAGUCAUGCUAUAAUAUAUCCUUUUGAAAAGUUGUAGUGUUUUAUCUCAGCAGAUUACAAUGCAAAUUUUUUGUCCAUGAAGAAGCAAACUUCUAUAUAAAGUGGGCAUGUUAAUCAAGUUUAGCAUGCCAAAGUAGGAGUAAAAAUGGGUCGAUUAAUUCUCUUCUGGGCUGCCUUAAUGGGGUUGUUUCUCCUCUUCUCAGUUUCUAGAUCAGAAACAGAAGAAGUAAGGCAAGCCUUAGUCAGAUUCAUGAUCCAAAUUUCUCCUGGAAACAUCAACAGGGGUGCAAACUGGGGCUGGAAUUUAACCUCAGACCCCUGCAUUUGGCAAGGAGUUGUUUGCAACGCAAUGUCGAAGAGUGUCAUAAUUAUACAUCUAGACAAACUCAAUCUCAGCGGAGUUCUUGAUGCUAAUUCUCUCUGUGUAGCAAAAUCACUAGCUCUCUUGAGCCUGAAUCACAACCAAAUCGUCGGAAAUUUACCUGAAGGGAUAUCAAACUGUAGCCAACUAAGGCGCCUAUUCAUAAGAGGAAACAAUUUCUCAGGUAUCCUUCCAGGUUCCCUUUCCAAAUUAAGCAAGUUAAUAAUGCUUGAUAUCUCAAGCAAUGUCUUCUCUGGGGAGCUACCUGAUUUGCCGCGAAUCUCAGGCCUAGUUGGCUUUCUUGCUGAUAACAAUGAUCUAAGUGGAAGAAUUCCUGAGUUUAACUACUUGAAUCUUCGAGCAUUCAAUGUCUCGUACAACAAUUUUAGCGGUCCAAUUCCUGAUGUCCAUGGCCAUUUCAAUGCAAGCAGCUUUUCAGGUAAUCCUGGAUUAUGUGGAAAGCCACUGCAAACGCCUUGCCCAAGCCCUCCUCCAUCUUGAUGAGGAACACCUGAUUUGAGUUCUUUACCAUGCAUUUUUGGCGAAUUAGUUCUUGAAGAAAUUUGUUAACUUUUCUCUUGGACUAAUGCCUUUGGCAUGCAGCACGGUUAAAGAUCACUAUGGUUAUUCUUGAUUUGAUCUUUUUAGCCAUUAAUUCAUACAACAAUAUUGAAACCUUCUAUGCAAGGUGCUUGGAGUUUUCAAAUAUAUGAUUGUUACAUCCUUCAAGUAUGAUAAACAAGCAUGUGGAUGGACAAAGUCCCGUUACCAAAAUUUGUCCUCAAGUCAUACAAUUUUAAGAUUAUUUAAACAUGAAACAUCAUGAAUUAAAGUUCUAUUCUUUGGUCUUAAUUGAGAAAGCACAUCCAGAUGUUACUCUUUAUCAUUAUUAUAAGGUGGCACUAUGAUUUUCAUAAAUCUUGCACCUCUGCCCGGUUUUCUAUUGAAUGGAGCGCCUGAUUUCAGCUAUAUCAUUAGUGUUGUAUCAGCAGCCUUUUGGGGUUCGACACUCCCUUGUUUUCAGUCUUUCAUAUGAGUUGUCAAAAAAUACAUACAAUGAUGAUCAGAUUCUUUCACCCAAUUUCAAAUGAGUAAUUACCAAAAUAUAAGAAGUAGAUGAACUAUUGCAUCAUUAUAUAGACUAAUUUUCACGCUCAAGUAGGCUUGAAUUUAUCAGCACUUCCUAUGUAGACGUACUAUCCCUGUAACUUUUGUUGCUUGAUGAUCAGUGGUAGAGCCAGAAAAAAAAUUCUCAGUGGGGGCAAAAACAAUUUCAAAAUUUUUUACCUACUCUUUUUAUAGUUUUUUAAGCAAAAAAUAAAAUGAAAUGAAAUUCACCAACAACUAUAAAUGAUGCAUAUAUUCCAUGAAAAGCAUAAAAAAACUCAAAAUUAUUAAUGUAAUAAUAAUUUUAUUUCAAAAAGCAGACUAAACCAUUUACAAUUGCUCACGACAAGUUUUCAUAUUUUGAUAACGGUUUACAACCUUCUCAUUUUAAAUUUCAAGAAGUAUAUUUUUUUCAAUAUAAGUAAUUAAAUAAUCAUUCAUCCAAGUAUCUCCCAUUCUAUUUCGUAACCGAUUUUUCACUAUAUUUAUAACUGAAAAAGCCCUCUUUAUGGUAGCUGUAACAACAAGUAAAAUCAAAGAUAACUUUAGGAACAUAUAAACUACUAAUGGAUAUACAAAACUUCAAGGGACACAAUUGAAAUUAUAUCAAAACUUUAUGAGUACUGUAGAGAUUUAAAGAGCCCCUGGUGAUCCUUUUGUCAUUGAUUGAAUAAAAUUAACUUGCUUACCUAAGAAAAGUCAGAUGGGAUUGUUUUCAUUCCAUGCAAUAGGAAAUGCUAUUAACUAGAAUGGAUCCCAGAGUUUCUUAUUAUUCGUGAUAUGUUUGUUACAUUUUGGGGGUGUUACUUUUCUUGUAUUUCCAUCUCAGAAGCCUUUGUGUUAUUUUUGUUUGUUAAACUAAAGAUUCUUACAAUUGUGGGAUCACUAUAGUUUCAUCUGUUCCCAUUGGUACCUAUCACUGUUGGAAAUGACCAUAUUGGGAAUUUGCUCAAACCAGAAAAUAUUAACAUGUGCAACUAAAACAAUAAUGUUACAAAGACCAUAUGGUCUUGAGUGUAAGAUUUGGUUCCGCUGAAGCGUCAAACUAGUUAGAUAUUAACAUGUGCACUUGGAUUGCUUGUUUUCGUCGGAAAAUAUUGUCGUUUUCCGUGAUCACAUUUCCCUAUCACCUUUUUUCCUCACAUAUAUCAAAUCGCUACAGUAAUUUUUCCAUGAAAAAUGACGGAAAAUGCAAUCCAAACACAACCUAAGUUUGAAUACGAAUUCAGUAUGUUAAGAUUUAUCCAAUCAUAUGUCAGGUACUCGAAAACUCUGCUUUAAUGAAGAACAAAAACACCUGGUUUGAAAGAUGAAAUGUACCACAAAGAUCAAACCAUUCAGAGGAAUACAUAUUGUUACACAAUCUUUCCCUUUGUGGGUACUUUUGAUUUCUUCUUGCUGUUUUAUAUCUCCAAUGUACAUAAACUUUUCCUGUCUGCUUUAAAAAAAAAAAAUUUCUAACAGGGGAGGGGUGAGAUUUACAACUACUUUGGGAGUUUAGAAUAGAAAAGAAAAGAAGAGAAAGCUCUGAAGUUAUGAAAAAAAGAGAGAAAAGAAGAUAUUUAGUUUUGAUGUUAUUUGGGAGUUUAGGAAAAAGAUGAAAUGAUAUUGCAUACAUUAUGUCAAUAAAAUUUUGUUUAAUAAACAGUUAGGUAUAAAAGUGGUAUUUUAAAAAAUUUUAUAAAAAUUGCUCCAAGUUUUUUGUUGUUUAAGUAUAGCUGCCAGAGUGAUCCAUCCAAAUCUUUCCAUUUCCUUUUUUUUUUUCAAUUUGCUCCACAACUCCCGAACAUCAGAAAAGAAUUAUCUUCUCUCACUUGGUUUUCUUUUCCCAUCAAAUCUAAGCAUUCAGAAGCAGGAAGGUGAUAAGGAGAACUUUUUUUCCCUUUGAAGGAAGGUGAUAAGGUGAUUAGAGUACAAAAUUUUUAUUUCUUAAAAUCUUAACCUUCACUACUAGAACAAACUCUCCUCGGUCAAAAUACCAAAAGGGAUUGGAUCUGGUAAAGAGAUUCGCAAGCCAGCUGGUCUCCGUGUGGAUCUGGGCCGAACUUAUUGGGUCUGGGAACAUGCUUUAAAGGAUAUUUGAAGAUCUAAAUAUGAACCACGUGCCCAGAUUCCUCCAGAUAACGGUGCACUUUAAUUUGGUAGGCUCAGACGGCCCAGAUCUGCUUUUGGGCUGUUGGUGUCUGAUGUAGGCCAACCCUUGUGCCCAUUAACACUAAUGAAAAAUCAUUAACGCCAAUCAUGACUAGAGUUAGGAACUGAAUCUGAAUUCUGAAGUCUGAAUUCUGAAAUUUGAAUACUGAAACAAUUAAUUUGCUGAAUUUUAAGCACUAAAAAAAAUAUAUGAUAAAUAUUUAUAACUGAAUGCUUAAUAAGUUAAAUUUGACAAAUUUGCCCUAAUAUCUUUUCAUCCAAAAAAGAAAUAGAACCUAUGAUUUAACUAGUUAAAAAUGUUAGGUAUAAAAAUGACAAUAUUUAUUUUUAAAUCAAAUUAAUAUAAAAGAUGAAAUUUAUUAUAUGAGGAGUAUGGAGAAGAUGUGAAAAUCAUUCAAAUGGGAGAAAAAAGAAAUAGAAAAUCAUUACAUAGAGAAUAUUAGAUUGUUUAAUUAGAUAAGAAUUUUGAACAUAAUUAACAAAUAAGGGUAGAUUUGGUAGAUAAGAUAAGGUAAUUGAAGUAAUUCUAUUGAUUCUUAUCAGAAUUAAGCAUGUAGUUAAGAUUCUUGUGCUGAAAAUAAUACAUACAAGUUCAGCACUACUUAACAAAUUCAUCAAAUAGAUUUUCAUUUAUCAAACAAUCAAAACAUCUAAAUGUCUGAAAAAACUCAGAUUCAGCACUUUUUUAUGUUAUCAAACAGACUCUUAGUAUUUCUUGUCCUGUAAUCUGAAAGGUUAAAUGCUGCUUUUUGAAAAAAAAAAAAAAAAAAAAUUUUACCCUUCCACCCACUCUCACAUUCUUCCUACUCCCAACUAUAAUUUGAUAACGAAGAGAUCUCUAAAAGUCCUACUCUGAUCACAGGAUUAAAUGCUGCUUGAGCAGAAUUAUCAUACAAGAAUACUCAUUAUGAGAGGCAUGAUUCUGUCUCAAUUUAGGGGACAAAAAGAAAAAGUAUGAGGAUCCUCACAUUCUCUCCUUAAUGAGAGAUUAUUCUUAAAACACACAUGACUUGACCUUUGUUGAUCAUUUUAGUUGAUCUUAAGCAACUGAUUAAUGAGCACUUAGCAAUUAAUUAUGAAUCCUUGCACUUGAAGAUGCAAUAAGUGUCAUCUUGAAGGUAUGAAACAUACAAUUACUCCUUAGCCGUUGGGAGGAGUGGUACUUGAACUUAUGCAAAAUUUAACGCCUUCCAUGAGAUGGUCAUUCAAGCUUUCAAAGGCGUGGUAUCGGCACGGGGUUUUGUGUAAUUAGUGUCUGAGAAGACAGAUAGAAGGCGUGAUGUCUGGUAGGGUCAUGAGUACUGCAAUGCUUUCCAUACGAAUUACUUACCCCCUCUGUGGAGUUCCUCUCUGGCAUUUUUCUAGAACCACGAUAAAACAAAAACUAUAACAUCUUAUUAUUGUAGCUUCUUAUUUCUUUUUUUAAAAACAUACUCCUAAGAUAUUUUCUUGGAUUUCUUUUCAAAAAAGAAAAUUUCUAGGAUUUUAAGCAACUAUAUAACUCAAUUACAUUGACUAGAAUUUUCUUUAGAAAUAAUUAAAAUGCUGAUUCAAUUAGGUACGGUUUUGGAUGAAUUCUUUCAUUUCGCAAUUUGUUAGUAUUUUGGCACACCAUAUUCGUAGGAGUUUUGGAUGGAAUCUUGGCCUUCUUACCGAAAUAAGAAUAUCAGUAAAGAAACAUUUCUUUCUCGAAAUAUCCAAACAAUAUAGUGUUAAGAAUUCUUCAAAGAAAAGUAGCCAAGAAAAUCUUUCACACUACUUACUCGUGUACUUUGUCAUUUUUGAUGUACAUAUAUGCAAGAAAGAUGAUUCUAACCAUAUAUUAUAUACAUGUUUUGUGUUUCCUAGUUGGAAGAUUAUGGCUCAUCUCAUAAACAAAUGCAUAUUUCUUUUUGGCCAUUCCUAUUACCAACUAGAUCACAAUUUUGCUAAAUUAGGCUAGGUAUAAGUAGAAAAUUUUUUGAGGGUUUAAUUUGUUAGCAAAUUUAACAAACUGCAAAUUCCCCCUUUUGAAGCAAUGAAGAAAAUUGCUUUCAGAUAUAUGCUUAGACAAGAGUUCAUCGGGCACAUCAAAUCGAGUGGAAAUUACUCUAUUUUUAAAAUUAAAUACCGGAUCAUGUGCAAAUUCUGUGGUAAAUAGACCAAUAUGACUCUGAGAUUUAUCCAUCUCAAUCUUGAAAAUGAAAUCUCAUCCUAUAUAAUAUAAUUAUACCUUGAAAUGAUCCCAAAGAAAUUCCUAGAAAGGUACAUUAUUUUUUUCUUUGUUAUCAAGCAAAGCAAGAAGCCAUGCAUGUGUUAGAAGAAUAAACAAAUAGAGUGUAAGACAACCAAUAUGUAGUUUAUUAUCCUAAAUCACAUAUUGCAAUCUCAGUUUCGUUGAAUCUGUCAAACUCCAAUCUUAAUUAUUUGCUUGGCGUAGAUCUCAAUGCAUUUCGCCUCUGAUAUCAUCUUCUCUUUCUACCUUUCACUCCCACCUUUACCCAAAUUUUUGGAAUGUUUUGAAGCCAUUUUCAAACUAAGGUGGGGCUUUAGGGCUUGAACUUUCUUGGUUAUGCAUAUACUAUAAUGCACAAAUCAGUGGAAUUAAAUUUGCAACUUGUUAACUUGAAGGGCUUCUACUUUGCUGCCUUUUAUUUUUUUUUUCUUUUGUUUCUUGUUUUUGGUUAAUUCAAUAGAUUAGAUUAAAGACUAUAUACAUUGUCCAAAGAUGUUAAUCUAAGUCAACAGUUUGAGCUGUAACCUUAACUGUUUGCACACGGGCUUCCUGAUUUUGCAUAAUAUACUUAUAAUCAGAUUCCAAAUAUGAGUCAAAUACAUACAAAUGUCAUUAAUUGUAGACCUACGGUCAUACAAAUUGCUUUGUUUCAAUGUCAAGAUGCCUAUAGGCAUCAAUAUGAACUACUUCCAACUCUGCAUUACACAAAAUAGAUGAAACAAGGAUACCUUAUGUGUGUGUGUGUCUAUAUACAUAUACAUGUAUAUGUAUAUAUAGAAACAAAACUAAAACUUUGUUUGGAUUGCAUUUUUCUGGAUUUUUUGUAGAAAUAUUAUUGUAGCGAUUUGAUAUGUGUAAAGUAAAAAAAUGAUUGAAAAAUGUGUUCAUGAAAAUUGUAACAAUUUUUUUUAAAAAAAUUACUUUCCAAACAAAGCGUAAUAUUUUCAAUACCACAAACGUUAGUAGGUGAUAACAAUAUCACAACAAACUUGACAGGUAAUAAAAUUUUCCUUUGAUCGAUACAGUGUACGAGGAAAAACAAGCAAAACCAGCAUUUUAUUUGGAUAGAAACAAAUGGGAAUAAAAGAAAGGUUUAAAGAGAAAGGAAAAACUUUGUAAUGCCAUCAACAUUUAAGCUAGUUUUUUUUUUGGGGGGGGGGGGGGGGGGGAGAAAAUGAUUCUUAUUCAAUGGUAGUUCUUAUAAAUUCUUCUCUUUGUCCAUCAAACAAGUGUAAUAAUGGUAUAUUACGCUUGUGGAAGUGUAACAAAUGAAUGCUCAUAACCUUUUCUUGCUAUUCUUUUCCAAAAAUCCCAAUAGUCGAAUACAUUUUUGUCUUUUUUUCUUCGUUUCUUUUCUCUCGUAACUUAAGUUAAUCUUCCUUUUUUUUUAAUUUUUUUGCUUAGCUAGCUCCACUAUACUCAGAAAGUAGGCAUUAAAAGGAAAAAAAAAAAAAAGAGAAAUGUAUGAUUCUCAACAUUGCACCACUACAUAUAUUUUCACCUUUCAAGUUUCAACCAAAUGGAAUUGUCAUUCUCAUUCUAGACCUUUGAAGUUAGAACCCUCUAAACCAAACCACCAUCCAUUUUCAUCUACCAAAAGAUUGGUUUCUUGACUUUGAUUCUCACUAAACAGCUAAACAAUCGUAUUCAUUAAUUCAAAGUUGCAUAAUUUGAGGAGCACUUUUCCCUUUAAUGGUUUUUUAAGCUUCUAGAGCACAUUACCAACCAACAGACCGGGAGACAUGCUAUCCCAAAUAAUAACAGUUGACCUUUAUGAAGGUAGCAGAUUCAAUGUACACUUAAACCAAAUUAUGGAGUAAGUACUUAAAUAAUAUCCAACUUCCGAGGACAAGCUACUCCAUAAUUAAGGUUGGCUGAUUAACAUAGAUUUUUAGAAGCCAUUGGUAGUUGAGAUGAAAAGAGAUUAUUAGUUUUAAUCAAUGAAUCACUCCCAAAAUUUCACACACAAACAAAAACAAAAAAAAAAAUUUGUUAGAACCCGCAUGGCCUGCAAACUUGAAUAGCUAAUUUGGAAAUGUACAAAUAAAAUCAGACUUUAUCGUUUCUUUGCUUCCAUUUUCUGGUGAUUCGUUUUGGACUUCUUUUCUAUUUUUGCGGGGGCUUUUAGUUGUUUGUUUUCAAGAUGGAAUCUAAGAAUUUUAUAUGAUCAUAGAAAAUUUUACAAGAAGCAGACAACCAGUUAGGACAUAUUUUAUGCACAACUCAACUUUUUGUCUGUUAUCUUUUCAAGAAUUUUCAAUAUCCUUCCCCAAAUUAGAAUCUAAACCUUGAACGAAUAUUCUCAUUAACUUAUGUUUUUGUUGAUAAUUCAUUUAAUUAAUAACCUAUAGAGCUGUUCUAAUACGAUCACACAUAAUCUUGAUACGAGAGAAAUAAUUAUUAGGUGUUGAUUUGAGCCUGGACUUGCUCAUAAACUGUUUGUGCAAGUCUAGAAUAUAUAUCAAACUACAUAAACCAAAAGGUAUUUACUUUGUUAGGAAAUUAUUAAAGCAAUUCUUAAUGAUGACAACUAUUUAUUUGUAGUAUUUCACAUCCAAAUACUUUCAGCCAACAUGGUAAAAAUUGAAUGUCCAUCCAAAUUAACUGAUGCGAAUUAUAAAUGAUAGGACUGCAAUAACCAUAUGGAAGGGAAACAUAAGUUGGAGUUCUUGUUUGAGUUAGGAAAGCAAUCAUUUGUUGUAAGAUAUUAGCAAAACUGAAGAUGAUGAUGUACAAAUUUGACUCAAAUAUUGGACCAAGAAUUGCCAUCUGUUGUACAAAUUAAGUUAACCUCAGAUUCCUUUUCUGAAUAGAUGGAUAACAAAUAAUGAAGCUCGUUGAUUUGUACUAGUAGUUGAAAUUAACUUCAAACUGUAGAUGGAACAAAGGGAAUAGUAAAAAAAAAAAAAAAAAAGUAAAUCUAAUGCUGCAUUCAACUAGUAAAUGAAAGGGUUUAUGCAAGAACAAUACCAGUGGCCUAUAUUUAUAAAUUAUAUCUCAUAAUAUGACUAUUAAGGGUAAAUUUACCUAUUUAUUACAUGAAAAGUUAAUCUGUAUUUAAGAGUUGGAAGAACAUCUACAGUCAAGGCAACCAGCUUUUUAACAAGCCCGGAUGAGACAAGAAGUUGGCAUACAAAAAUGACAUGCACAUGCAGGAAGUAGUUAAAACACACAAAUCAUCUCAUUCUGUGAUUGGACACCACAUGCAUUUCUAUGAGGAAAUAAAGACAACGAAAGUAGAAAUAAUACUGAGACAGUCCUUGAACUACUACAAACAUCUUUGCAAUAUUCUUUUUUUUUUAAAUCAAGAAUUGCACUUGAAAUUCUGAAAAAGCAAGCAAAACUUCACAACUUGUAAUCUAGAGAAAAGCACUUGCAAGGGCCUAUUCACAUUGCCUCUCUUUGCUCACACUUUGAAACAACACAAUAUAGCUUCAGCUCAAUCUCUAAAACAUCAUAGAUAGACCCCUCUUGGUAUCUGGGGGUUUUUAAAAAAAAAAAAAAAAAAAACUCUUCAGAAGCCAAGCUACAGGCAUUGAUUUUUUUUUUUUUUUGGUUUAUUCUGGACAAUGAAAUUGAUAACUUCAGUAGAUCUCAAUGCAUAGGAAUUGAUCCACCAGCUCCCAAAACUUGCUUCUCCAGCUAAUAGAAAAAUAUAUGAUAAUUGUAAACAUGAAAUUAUUAAUUCUGAAAAAAAAAAAAGGGUUUCACAUGGUUACCUUGAACAUUGUUUCAAGCUUGUUCUUCACAAGGGAGUACUCAUGCUUUACUAGUUGCAGGCAUCUUAAGCACCUAUAAAUCAAUAUAUUUUAUGUUCCACUGUUCAUUGAUCAUUGAGAGUAAACGUUGGUAAACAUUAAGUGAUGGUCGCUGUUAAAAUUCAAAAACAAUAAAAUUUUCUCUUAAAGUUUUUCUGUGGGCUGCUAAGAGUAAGGACAAGCAAUACUAAUCUAAAAAACUAACCCUUCAGUGUUCUGUUCUUCACAAUAGUUACGGAAGGCAAUGCAUACUUUUUGAACCCUUUGCGCACCAAUGCUGCAGAAAGACAAAAGUUCAUUUUCUUCAGUUAAAUGAUGACUAGGAAGGCAAGAGAUCAAGAAAGAAAUUGUUGAAGAGAUCAAAUUAUCUGAUGUCCUUUGGCCUUCUACAAAAUAACCAAAUUUAUUCCUUAAUUUCUCCAAAAUAAAGAGUCAGAUGAGUACAAUGUCAUUUCAGAUAAUUCAGCAUUAGUGGUAGAGAAAACCUUGAAAAGUACCUCAAAUUCAUCAUUUGAGGACUGAAUUUUUCUAGAUGUAUUUAGUGGCCUACAGUUCUUUUGUCACAUAUGGUUCUGAUGUAUAGAGUUUGGUUUGAACAGGUACAAUUACUGUACAGACACAGAUGCAGAAGAACUAACUGAAGAUGCAUCAGUACUCCUCUCCAUUUCACGCCGAAGGUGUAGAUCAAAAAAUCACAACCCUUUGUCUUGAACUUCUAAAGGAUCAGAGAACUUAAAGAAGGAAAUCCAUAAAUACAUGAGAACUAGCAAAUGUUACCUGGAGCUGCUACCCUUCAACUGAUGAACAUGUGCGUCAACCUUCUUGAAGUCCACAAUUUGUUGGCUCCUACACAAAGAAACAUCAGAUUUAGCAAACAUCUGCUAGAAAAUAGAACCUCAUUGAAUAUGUUAACAAGCGAAGGAGCAAAACCAUUGAAAAACGCCCGGAAAAUGUAGUGCUUACAGAGUUUUGGAGAGUUCAUUGAGAAGCCUCUCAGAAUCUUCAAAGAAAAGAUACACAACUUCAACCACAAAAUCUGGAUUGCUUUCAUCUUGCAGUUGCUGAAGCUGUUUGAACUGAUCAUCAAGAAAUCCCUUUUCAAAAACAAAACAGAAAUCAUAAUCAGAAUAACCUGAUCCAAUCAAAGAAGGAAGGCAUAAUCAUGAAAUGAUCCAAAUGAUUAAAAUGCUUGCUUACCUCUUUGUAGAGGGAGGUUGAGUAGUCUACUAACUGCUUUUGCAACAGAAUUACACCAUCCAUUCUCGUUCUGGCUUUGCAACUGAAGCUCACAGGUACUGUGAAGUAGUGGUUGGAAGCUUAUUGAAUGAAGACUAUAUAUAUAAGCUGUAUAAGUUAAUAUGAACUUUUCCUCUUGGAGCUCUUUAUUUUUUUCUCGGAAAAGCUCAAGACACUGAGAGGGCAGGGCAAGAUUUGAUGAUGAAUUCAAUGAACUGAGGGGACUGAGUACAUUGAUGAUUGAUCCAGUAUUGUCUCUGUGUCUGUAGGAUUGUCUCCACCCCUUCUUUUUCACACUCUCUCCCGGAUUUGUUUUCUGUUCUUUUCCUUCCUUCCUCUCUGUCUCACCUCAUAAUGUUUCGGUAGCAACAACGAAGUUCGAAAUAUUAAAAGCUGUUUUGCAAGAUCCAGAAUAUGAUGCCAUCAUGCCACCACUUCUUUGUUUAACAUUUUCUUUUAACUAUUUCCUUUUAGCAAAUUGAAGCCAUGAACCCAUCAUUGGAUAUAUAAUAAUUAAUUUUAUAUUAAAUUUGAAAUCAAAUUUUAUAUAUAUACGAUUGUCAGACAAUAUAUAUAAAAUUAACUCUCAAUUAAAAUGCAAACUAUCUGUCCUUUUUCUCUCACAUUACUUUUUUUUUUUUUUUAAGAAUUUUUUCUCUUAAUUUUAGUUCCCAACGUCUUAAUUUGUCUGUACAUGGAGGUAUGGGCAUGAAUUGCCAAGCGUGCUAAACUAUGUCACAUCAUAUCUCCAAGAUUUUCUUCGGCAGAUUCUGUCUUUACGGCAAAAUUCAACAACUAAAAUGCUGUGAAAGUGAAUUUUUGUCUUUUCAAUACUCGAACAUAUAAUGUGGUGAGUAAGAAAUGUAAAUCAAGUGUUUUCUGCAACCUAAUUGGUUGAAUUUUUUAUUUGACCCUUAAUACAUCUAAAUCAAGUUGGAGAUUUUUUUUUUUUUUUUACAUUAAAAUGCCAUUUGCUAAGAAUGCACAUAUAUUUUAGGGAUAAUUUCAGAAACCUCCCCUGAGGUUUCUGACAAUUUCACUGACCUCCCCUGAGGUUUCCACAAUUACACUAACCUCCCUUGAGGUUUCUGAUUUUGUAACAAAAUCAGCCCAUGACCACAAAAGUAAACAUAAAAAAGUGUUUUCAGGAAAGAGAGGAAAUUUUGUUCCCAUAAAUGCCCUUAAGGUAGGUGUACAAGUUAUAUUAGUGAAUUAAUGAAAACUAAUAAAAAUCAGAAAUAAAUAAGAAAAAGUGAGGGGAUGGGUAUGGGAAUCAUAAAAUUUUACUUAUGGAUAUAAACAAUUGGGUAACGCAACCGACCCAAUUAACCCAUCUACCACCACUCAGGUCAUUUCACAAAUACAUUCAUCAGACAAAGCUUUCCUCUUGUCACAAAAAUUCAAAGCAAUGUGGUACAUGUUCACAAGCAAGCAGGUUAAAAUCCCGCCUGCAUAAUAACGUUGAAACCCGCAAGCGGGAUUCUGUGUUUUUUCUAUUUCAAGGUUAGCUCGCAUGCGGGUUAAUGUUAUAUUUGAGCGCGAGAAGAAAAAAUUGGUAAUUAGGCUCUUUGGGCAUUAUAAGUAAAUAUUUAAAUUAAUGGCAGUUUUAUUACACCAAUAUUAUUGUAUUAUCAUUAUUAUGAUUAUUGUAUUAUUUCUUAUGCAAAUAUAACAUUUAAUUAUUUAAAUUUGAUUUUAUUUUUACAAUUUAUAAAAUUUUUAUCACUUAUAUAAUAUUUUUAAAACCCUAAUACAUCUAAAUUUGAUUUUAUUUUUCAAAUUUAUAAGAUUUUUAUUUAAAAAAAUGGGAUACGGAUAAGAUAUCCGGUUGGUUCGAUUUGCAUAGGUGCAUAUGAGAAUAUCCAAAUACUCUUUAAACCCGCAUGCGGGUUUAAGGAGAUUAUGGCAACUCUCUGACACACUAGUUACCCGUCCAACUUGUGUGUAUUAAAAUAUAUUUAAAUAUUAUAUUUCAUAUUUUUGUUAUUUAGAGUUUAACAAAACAUUAAUAUUGGGUAGAUUUGAGGGAUAUGCAUAAUUUUGCAUAUUUGUAGGAAUAUUAGAAAAUGGAAAAUUUGGGUAAAUUCCCAAAUUUUGGAGGUAAGGUGUAAUCCAAGAACUAAAACAGUCAUUUAUAAAACAUUAACAGUAAUAAGGUGCAAACCAAAACUGCAAUCCAAGAGUAAUAUCAUUACAAAUUUCAUAACCAUACAUUAAAUAAAUAGAAAUGCAAUCCAAUACUAUCCAAAAACACCAUCUGCCUUAUCAUAUUUUAGUCCUAUAAUAACACAAAAUGUCUUGGGUAUAAUAGUAAUUUUGCAUUAUAUGAUGUCAGCAAUUGGGUCCCAAGUUCUGCCAGGGGAGGUCAGUGUAAUUGUGGAAACCUCAGGGGAGGUCAGUGAAAUUGUCAGAAACCUCAGGGGAGGUUUCUGAAAUUAUCCCUAUAUUUUAAAGCAUAAACUUAGAAGUCCUUGAUUUUACACAAACAGUACAUUUUGAUCCAUUAUAAAUGUGUGUCACUUCACGGACUCAAUUUUCAAUGUGCAAUCUAAACACUUUGAUCCAAGAAUAACUUUUUUUUUUUUUUUUUUUGCGUAAGCUAAGUUCCAGUUCCAGAUGAGAACCGUUUCUAAUUAUAUUAAAAACCGAUUCUAUACUAAAUGUUCUGGAACUUCCAUCACCAUCAACUCAAUUUCUUAACAGACAUGAAUUAUGUUCCGUUUACCUACUCUUUCUUUUCAUCUUAUCUCUUGACAUUUUCACAAAACGCCUUUAAUCUUUUGGUAGCUAGCUUCCUUUGUGGUUUAUUGGUGUUAUGUUUUGGUUGGUUGGUAUUUGGUAUAUGGAUUAAGCGGUUGGCAUUUAACUUAUCCUGAGAGGGACUUUUGCUAUAUAAGAUGGCCCCCCCAAAGGCCACUAGCAGCAUCUGGUUUUGGCUUGACACUUUCAACCAGGGUGUAAAGUUAAACCCUUCAGUUUCAUCAUAUUCAUUUUGGUGUUGAUACUUUUUAUCUUCACAUUCUGUAGUUUUGUCAGAAGUGAGAACGUGUCUUAUGUUGAGUGAAUUGUGUAGGGGACAUAUUACACAUAUGGCUAAUGCCUGCCAGUCAGCCACAAGGGUUGGUUGCAUUUUGCAUUCAAAGCAGAAUGAUGACAGCAAUUCUGAUUAUGGAUAUAACUCCCUAUGCAAAUGCAAAUUAGAGCAGUUGGCUGCAAAUCCAAAUCCCAACCCUGAAAUUGACAGCAAAUGCAGUACUAUUCUGACUUGGUCUCAUUACUCUUCUUACAGAUUUGUGUUUGUUAUUUUGUUUCUGUUCACAUGUCAAUGUUAAAGAAUGUGCAAGAGUCCCUCUUCAGGAUUUACUACAGAAAAGAACACUAGGUGGUCCAACUUUUUUUUCUUUUGUUUUAUUACUCACCUUUAAAGUCUAAAAGACUACUUUCUGGAUUUUCAGAAAAUGUAAGGGAGUAAAAAGUGAAAUACAUUUCUUGACACCACAGAGCGAUCAGCCAUUUUAGUAAAAGAAAAAGGGAUUGUUUGCGAAUAGUCAUCUUUUACUUUUCGUGAAAGAGUUACUUCAAUCCCUCUAUUUUUCCGUCUGUUUCUUGCAACCUAACAAGUUAGAAAGAAGUUGAAAUGUGGGUAAUUUUGACUGAGGCCAAAUUUGCAAUCCAACUCACCUAUGUCCACAUCCUUUGAUAUGUAGUAACCACUGUCCCACUGAUUUGAGUGAAUAGUAAAUGGCAAGUUUGUUUGGAGCACCUAUCUUGGAUACACGUAGCCUUUCUGGGCAGUUCGAUUGGUCACAGGAAGCCUCUUAAGGUCCCAUUGUCCAUUCUCUCCCACCAGGAAUCGAGUCCCAGUGAUUACCGAUUCGAGGGAAUGGGACCUCUCCUCUCGGGUCUCAGGGGGAUUAGUCGGGUCCGGCAUACUCGAAGCCCGGAUACCCCCUGAGUAGAAAAAAAAAAAAAAAAAAAACCUAUCUUGGAUACACGUAAUAUGAGAUUAGUAGAAAUAAUUCUCCUAAUUUACAGUGCAAGUUCUCAGGGAAUUUGUACAGAAACUGAAGGAGCAUUCCUUUCACUAGUGUUGAAAACUACAGCUACAUAGCAGUACUUCAAGCAAUACAACUCAAGAUCAUUCAUGUUUUUUCAUCUUUAAGUAAGCUUGAAAGUGGUAUCUAGUCUUAAGAUGAAUUUACAUAAUUUUAGUUUUUACAUCCGAUGAAAAAAACAAAUGAACCCAAUUUAGCAAAUGUUUUAAGACCAUUAAGAAGUUAUGGAGUACAAAAUGGCUGGUCUUGCACAUGUAAGUAUCUUUUCUACCCCUUUACCUAGGAGGAAAAAUCCCUCCAUUGAAGAGGCCUUGGAUUCAUGGAUAGCCAGAGAUCCAUUAAUGACUCUGUACCUCCAGUCAGAUAUAGGACUACAGGAGUUUAGGGGACCACUUCUGGUGUUUGUAUGUUAAGUCUUGCUACUGGUGUGAUAUGAAGGGCAUCUAAUGGGACACCAAAGAAAGAAGAUGUGACCCAGUUAAUGUAGGAGACACCACUCGAAGCCAAAACAUCACAGCAUUUUAGGAUUGAGUAGGUAUCCUAAGCAUUCACCACAGCAUAAAAGCCAUAAAUAGAUUAUGAUGGGCGUUCCUAAUGGAUACAAAAAUGUACAGCAAAAAUGGCUGUUCAUUCAGCAUGCGCAGCCAACAUUUUUCAAGCUUGUGGCCAUAGAAAAUGUGGGCGUCCAAGGGUGAAUGGGGAUAUAGGAGUGACGACAGUAGAAAUUUGCCUCUCUUUUAUUUACAUCAUGUACAUAAAAUAUUUGAGUGUGAUUGGAUAUCAAUUUUACUUCAAAUAUUAUUUUACUUGCAUCACAACAGACACGUUUUUCAAUCAUCUUUUUAUCAUUUCAAAUACUUUUGCAUCUCACAUAUAUCACAUGUUAAAAAAUAUUACAAUUCCAUGAUUAAUUAUUCCUAAUAAUAAUGUUUCAAAUAAUCUCCUAGCCAGUUGGACAAUCCUUUAAGCUUAAUACGAAUGCUAGUGUUACUUCGUCUGGACUCUGGAGCAAUUGGAGGGGGUCUUCUACUAUGUUUUCAGAACCGGACCGGAUAGCGACUCGGCCGAGGUCAGGGGUCAGGGGUCAAUGGGUUCGACCUGGGGUCGAUAGGGGUCGAACCGGAUGACGUCAUAAAUAAAAAUUAUUUAAAAAUUAAAAUAUUAUAUAUAUAAUAUCUAAUAAUAUAUUGAUAUUAAUAAAGGUAUAUUCAUAUAUAUUUGAUGUUUCAAAUAUAUUUAACAAGAAAAUACAAAGAAAUUAGAACAAUCAAGUAGCAAUUUAUAUUAUUUAAUAAAUAUUAACAAGUUUAGAAUUAAAAUUAUGAAUUUAAUUGAAAAAUAACAUCAAAUUUUAGGACAAUAUUUAUAAAGUAUCAAAUAUUUGAGGUAUAUCAAUAAGUUUUAACAAUUUAGGGGGCCAAAACAUAAUAUUAAAAAGUUUGAAAAUUUUUUUAAAAAAAUUACUGUUGAACCGGAAAAACCGAUUUUUUCCCGGUCAAAUCCGGUUUUUGACCGGCUUUGACCGGGUCUUAAAUUUUCGGUUUUUUAAUGUGACUCGGACCGGCUACCUGGCCGGUUCCCGGUUCGACCGCCCGAUCCGGUCCGAGUUUGAAAACAGAGGUCUUCUACGGUCUCAUGAUGACAAGUUAGUUUUUGCUUUUUACAAGGAGUUUGGGGAGACUAGUGUUGUUUUUGGCUGAACCUAUUGUCAUUUUUGUUUUUGCUGACAAGUUAGUUUUUCUAAUAUGUCAUUAUUGGUUGGUUCGAUCUAUUGCCAGGAAAGAAACUUCACAGGGUUUAUGGCCGAGGUGGAUUCGAAAUCAUUAGUUACAAUGGUCUCGUCUGAUAUUUUGGCACGUUGGCCUCUUUGCAAUGUGCUGCGACUGAUAAGGGCUCUGCUAUCGGGUCUUGGAGUUUAUCUGCAUCAUGUCUUUAGGCAGGCUAAUUCGGCUGUUGAUGCAUUAGCUUCGUCUCAUUUAGGGUUGUCACGUCGGAGGACAGUCUUCCCAGCUAUGUCAGAUCAGCCAUUCAUCUCGAUAUAGUGUCUCAAUUCCUUCGGUUAGGCUCCUUUCUAUCAGGAAAUAGUAAACUUUCUUAUCGUAUACAGGUCUUAUUUGGUCCUCUCUAGUUCUCGUGCUUUGAUUAAUAAAAUUAGGGCUGUCAUCUCUCCUCCGUAUAUGAGAUUUGCCAAAAAAAUAAUAAUAACAAUCUCUUAUCCAACUUAAAAAGAGAUUUCUUUCCCCCAUUCUUUAAAGAGUAGAAACUUAUCAUUCAACUUUUAUUUAAUAUUUACAUGAGAGAGAGAGCUUGGCCAACAAGUAUCCCAUGGCACUCAUUAAGAUAGUUUUAGCUGUUAACUUUUUGGUAAGAGACUGAUUCGGAAAAAUAUCUGAAUGCAAAGAGACAAUAAUUACGUGUGUGUAUUUACAUGAUAAGUUAAAUGUAAUUUAAGCAUCUUAAAAAGUGCUUCAAGUUUUUGCCAAAUUUGUCUGCUACAAGUUUUUUAAAAAACUUUAGCUACAGUAAUCUCAAAAAUUUUCUCAAAAUUUUUAAAUUAUACAUUUCAAAAUAUUCAAAAAUCUACACAUUUCAAAAAAAUUUUUAAAAACUUCUACAGUAAGCUACAGUAAAGUUUUAAACAAACUCCCACAAAACUCGCCUUCUAAACAAGGCAGCACAACCUUUUAUGUCACACACUACAGGUUGAAAUUAUCUACAAACCAAUUCAUUAAACCAGCUUGAAGACUAGUUGUUGAUCUGUUCAACCAACUUGAUAAGCAACCUUGAUCACUUGUUAGUAUAUCAACCUUGAAUACAGUUUGGUUUUUUCACUUUUCAGAUGUCAAUUUUCAUCCGAAGCAACUUAGGAAUCCUUAAAAUUAUGAGCUUCAAUAACAAGGCAUUGUCGACUUCCAUCAGACCUCAACAUGAUCUCCUAAGAAUUUCUUGUAGAAAGAUGUAUAGCAUGGUUAUAAGGAGAAAUUCUGUAAACUUAGGGAAACAUACAUAAACAGUGGAGUUUUCUGUCAACGAAAGCAUUAUUGUGCGUACCAAAAACUAUCUAUUCCGCCAUGUUUGUUUGUUUCACUUCACUUUCCCAAGAUCACCAAUCUUCUAUAAGAAGAACUUGUGGAAGAUAAAGACCCUUCAACCUGCAUUUCUAAAAAAUUCCGAAGAAAUAUGUAAAUGUCACAACUGGAAGAAGUUGUCUCAAAAUGAAAGAGCGCAACCGAAAAAUAAAUAAAUUGCGAACAAUUUUCAAAUAGGGAAAUGCAAUGUACUGUAGAAGAGUACCUUUUCUGUCUUUGGUUUUUCUUUUUGUGGAUACUUCUUUUAUUUUCUUUUCUUUGAAAGAACAAAUAUUGUUACACCGGGGGAAGAAAAAGAGAAUGUUCAGACAUCAUUUGCAUCAUGAACUUAAUAUACAACAUAUAUACACAAGAACUCCCAACCAGGCACUUUCACUCUGCCAACACAAGGGGACGCCAAGAAUAAGUCAUACAUUCACAUCAAUAUGUUAGUAAGCAUUUCUGGGGAGCUGUACUGGAAGAACAUCAUUCUUUCGUCUGCCAACCUUCUGCUCAACAUUGGGCGGUGGCACAAGGCUGGCAUCAUCAGGUCAUGCAUCAACCUACGAAAAAAUUGGCGAGCAUGUUGGCUUUAUCAGAAACAUAAGAGUAGAGACAGCAUGCAAAGAAGCUUCAUCUGUGAAGCACCAAAAGUUUUCAGAUUACCAGCUGUGGCUGGUCCUAUCACUAUACUAGCAGUGAAACAACUUAAAAUUUGAUAAAAUUGACAAAACAGACAAAACAGCUUUUCAGAUUGCACACCUUCUUCAGAAAAGGCAAAUACACCUCCAAGCAUACCAUCACUUUCCACAUCUUCCUCAGUUUUCUCUCUGUCACAAGGACUAUUACUGCUAUCAAUAUCAGUAACUCCUUCACUCAACUCAUGUGAAACAUUAGUGGCUGAUGCUUUACAGUAACCCUCCUGGAAGUACUGUCCAAAAUCUACAGGGUCAUGCAUAUCUUCAUGCACUGGCCCCUCAUCAAUAAUCUUCAUACUCGCAUCUGACCGAUUAGAGCUUGUGUUUGAAAGCUCACCAGUGAUGGUGCUGUUUGGAGACUGAACAAACCCCCUUAUAGUGCUUCCUUCAGUAGAAAGAGGCCCGUUCUUGGGAGAUGAUGGUCUAUUUACAAUGUAACUUUCUUCAAGAGAAUUCAUGGUUUUAGCAGAUGAUUCAGGGGAACUUGAAGACCUACGGUUCAAAGAAACAGAACCUGAUCUCCUUACACCAUCAUUCUCAUCCACAGUUGAGCCAUCAGAACCAGAAUCUGAUGCACCCAUGUGAUCCAAGCCAUGAAGAAAUGCUGAUGCUUUAGCAAAACCUGACAAAUUUUGACCAACAUCUAUCAGUAACUAGGAAGUAAGUCAAACUAUCAUCACAAUCAAAUCACGUCAGUGAGAAAAAUGAUACCUGCAGGUAUCUUUUUGGUUGAUGCAGGCGAGAUCUGUUUAGAAUUAGAGACUACACUAUCUUCUAGUUUAUCUUUACCAGUAUGGGAACCAAAUGAUGAUGAUCGAAACCUGCAACAGGCAAAAUCCAAUUCAGUAGCUUGAGCCAUUAAAAUGUCAAUAAUUUGGAAGGAAUGGAGUCAUACAAAGAUGAAAAUUUCCCAACUUACCAAGACAACACCAUAUCCUUGUUCAUGAGCAGAAAAGAAAAAAGAAGCAAAAGAAUACAAUGGUAUAUAUUAACAAGACCAGUGGGCAAUGCAAUAUGUUGAGCAACAUAAAAAGCAUGUGCACAUAUCCUUCUUUCAUUGUUUAGUGUGCUCAAAGAGCUAGAGAAGCAAACAAAAGAGAAAUAUCUGUUGUCAAUAAUCCUACGUGGAUUAAGAUCAAAUGUUAUGUUCCAAAAGAAGAAUGGUACAGCCACUUCACAGCUUAAAAAAAGAUUCUCAUAGACUUGAUUAAUAAUCAACCAAGAGGAACUUGCCUCCUAGAUCCUUAAUUGUUCAGGAAAUAUCACAGGUCAACCUCAAGGAUCAACUAUUACAUAAUUUUCACUAGGAUGGACGUCAAUAGUAAAGGUAGAAUGCAACAUAACAAAGGGAAAUCAAAGCCUAAAGCCAAUCUAUCAUCAAAAAGUUCACUCUUGUUUAAAAGAACAUGCUAUACCAGUUUCAAUGAACAAAUUAAAUCUCACUGAUCCAAUCUCAAGUACAACACUGGGGUAGUUUAAGUUACAAAUUCUUGUGAAGAAGAUUUUAUUUUUCCACCACCUUAAAAAAAAAAAGAGUAAAGAACAAAGGCUAAAAUAUGCUUCUUAUUCACAUUAUCAAUAAGAAAUCACUUUGCAAGGUACUUGAUCAUAAUUUAUAAAAAGACACUGCACCUAUCACGCAGCAUUUUUGGAAACAAAGUUUUGCUUUUCACUACAGGUAUUGGUUUAUUGUGUUUCCAAUCAUUCAAAGUGCAAAAGCCAAAACCUUCCAAAUACCAUACUUGUUCUAUGUAACUUUGGAAUUUAUGAAGAAGAAAUGAUACAAUAUCCAAAACUUUCCAAAGACCAUACUUGUUCUAUGUAACUUCGAAAUUUAUGAAGAAAAAAUGAUACAAUAUGUGAAUAUACUAGAUGUAUCCCAAAGGAAAGCAAGGUGUUUAGGGAUGGUUUGCAGCCAAAUGAACACAAAAAAUCCUACUUAUGAAAGUUCUAUAAGACAAGCAAAUUCUCACUUUUCUUUUCUCUUUUCUAAAAAAUAGAACACUCUAAAAUUUAAUGCUUCAACAACCACUACAUGUGGAAACCGCCUACUACUAGUUUAGCAUAAAACAAAUGAAAAUUCAAAUGCACCUGAAAUGCAAAACUAAUUUGUCAUUUGUUAAUACUUUAAGAAAAUGAGAAUGUCAAUAAAUCUCACACACAUCAAAUGUGCCAUUAUCACUAGUUUUCUCCAAUUAUUCUAAACCAUAUCAGCAACUCUAUCUGAGUAACAAAAAUUUUUAUAAAUAAAAUUCUUUCCCCAGCCCCAAACACAUCUUUCUCCAGAUUUCCACACCACAUACACCUCAACAACCCACAAGAACAAAUUCUAUGAAGAUGCAACCAAUUGGCAACAUUCAAAGACCUUUAAAUCCUUGAUUGAUCAAGUAUUUGAAGUUAUCCCUGUCUUUUUAUAAGUACCUUGUACCUUUCCAGAUGAAAAAGUAAAUUAUCCAGUUUCACCAAAACCUUUAUUCUAUAUCUGCUUAGCAUUGAAGAUUUACACAAAAAAUAACAAUCUCGUUCUUAAGAUAAUCUUGCAGGCAUUCAUUUAAUUGAACUAAAGAUUAACAGUUUCAACAUGCUAAGUUUGCUACUCAGGCCAGAGAAAGUAACGAAGUAGCCACUUCAUUACCUGUCAUCUCUCCAAUCAGAUUGGAUUCUGCGGAAAUGGUCAAAUACAGGCAGCAACUCUCGGCGCCUUAUUUCAACCUCAGUAGCAGGAAUCUUCUCAAUCUCAAUUUCUCCACCAGUAUUUACAUCCACCAAGUUCUGCUCUUCAUAUCCACCAUGACUCAUUGUAUAGAAGUAUAUCUAAAAAGUGAAGUAAGCAUCAGCACAAAUUAUAAUAGUAAUAUACUUGCAUGAUGAUAAUGAAUACCUUCGAUUUUUGCCAUAUUGGCAUCCUCCCAGACCUCAACUGCACCUCAGCAUUGGAGAGAUACCAAUGAGAUCGGUCAUGUGGUUUCACAGCAUCCUUUUCUCCAAUCUCGUUAUCUUCCGGCUGAGCAGUGUCCAUGAAUGCCUCAGGAGCUUCCCGUCCCCCAAGUGUAAUACCCUGAAUAUAUUCCUCUUUUUCAGGCCAAUUUGCUCUUCGACAAACAUCCCAUCGCUGGACAGGUUCAACUUUCACUCCCAAAUCAUCCUCCUGCAUCUGCACCAUUGAACUUGUCCCAUUUUUCAGAGAAGACUCGCUCUGUUCUCCCCCAAGAGAGGGCAUCAGUUCAUAUUGAACUAGAUGACCAGAAGGUGAGUAAACUAACAGGUGCUCUAGAGCCUUCCCAUUUGGGGAAACAGAUUGGCUAUUUUGGUGUAGCAAACUGUGAAACACAGCAGCAAUAACCCCAGAGGUUGGAGAAACCUUCCCUGCAGCAGAAGAUGCAGCAUUGCUUACUGUAUUCAGCCAAUUCCCGCUUUUUAUCCUGCAAACUACAGAGAGAGUGAGAGGUACUGGUGGUGGUGGGGAAGCCUGCUGGUUUAUCAGGAAUGAUGAAGUAGACCACCAAGGCAUCGAUAGAACUGGAGAAAGUGUGGGACCAUCAAUAUGAGAACUUUGUAAUCGAAGACCAGUCUCACCACCAAAUGGUGAGAGAACAAAAAUAUGGCAAGUGCCCCGUGAUGAUACAACAGCAACCCACUGACUAUAGUGACUAAAACAAAUGUCUUGUAUUACCUGUUACAUAAAAUCGAACACAGGAGAAGAUAAAUAAAUAGAACAAUAACUAGUGGUAAAUAAUCUACAAGGAGAACAUGUUGCAGAAUUCUUAUCAAUAUGCACAAACAAAAAUAGAAAAACAAGAUACAUACAGCUGAAGUCAUGCCACGAUGAAGUUUGUAGAGAUGCACGUGAGAAGAACUCCAAUCAUAGUUAUCAGCGCCUAACCCAUUCUGUGUUUUAGAAGGCAGAAUGCGGAAUAUGUUUAUGUUGUUCCCAUGUAUAGAGGCUGUAACAAGAAGAGUUCCACUUGGAUCAAAACAGAGAGCAGAUAAUGGACUUGUAUGUGCCCUGAACUGUGAUAUGACUGUUUUUGAAGCAAAAUCUUUUAUAACAACCUGCAUUUGAAGAUUCAAGAGAAAAAUAUUAUUCAACAAGUUAAUUAAUAUAAAAGAGUACAAACUGCUCUUCAUUAUGUCACCUAUCCGCUACUUACCAUAAUAAGAUCCCAAUUUAGGAAAACAAUCCUACUAAUCAGGUAAUGGCAAAAUACUAUCCAGAUAUUUAUGAGAUAACAAAGUAAUUACAAUCAUUAAAAAUUCAGUAAUUUCAACUAUUCCAGUAUGCUCUUUAAAACACUCACCAUCCCAGCAGCAUCUGUCUCAGAUGAAUGUGCUGUAGCCCUUCCACCUUUCCAGUUAGAAUUAGAUGACACCGGCGAACUCGAACCAUCAGGAAGGAGCUCAUGACAGUAUUUUGAUAAAGUUUUGUAGCCCAUGUCACCCAAAUUGAUUAAUCCAACUGCUAACUGUUUACUCGACUCCAUUGCAUAACGAGCAACCAGGUUUCCACUACCAGGUGAGGUAGAAGGGCUCACACCAGGAGAAGGACUUAGACUUUGAGGACUUAAGCGUCCUGUAUUUGACAGCAAGGGAUUAUUAGAAGCAUAGGCUAACCACCUGGGGCCCACAGCCAUUGGACCGUAGCCAAUGUUUACCCCAUUAGUACCCUGCCCUCCCAAUUGAGGUACUGGAUAUGUUAGCACGCUGAACUUGUUCUCUAGAGUAAGUGCAUCAAAGCAAUAUAUCUGCCAGGAACAGUAAAAUGUAAGUCAAACAAUUGUGACUGUAUAAUGAAUGAAGUAACAAAUUCUUAAAAGCUAUUUACGUUUAAUAAACAAGACUACAUGGGCUCAUGCUACCAUUAAAUUGAGUUCAAUGUACCAAAAUGAAAAACUUCGCCUUUGAGAUCUUCUAACCAAUUUUCUGAAAGCCUAUCUCAUUCCUUUGGCACCAUAAUCAAAGAAACUUGCAACAUCAUGGGAGAAAGUUAAAAUAAUUAGAUAUUUUAGUUCAAACUAUCUUCAGCAACGAAGAAUGAUAGCAUCGUAUCUAUAAGGCAAAAGAAUAACCUUAUCUAGUAGAGCCUUUCAAUGUAUAAUUGUGAGGGACAGAUUAUAGCAUCCAUGGAUGCCAUAACUGUCACUCUCUACAACAUAUGACAAACAUUUGCUACAUGGUCAUCUCAAAACUAAAAAUCAAUCCAGAGCAGAAAACACGUAUAUAACACAACUAGAUGCUUACCUGUGCUGCAAGACCCACAGCUACUAUCUGCGGACUGCACCUAACCAUAUAUACAGUUGACCGAAAUCUUAAAACUUGGACAUAGUUGUGAGACCUUAAGGAGUAAAACCGAACAGUUGUAGGAGACGCCAAAAUGUUUGCUGACUGAUGAUCAACAAAUCCAUCUCUGCCAUUCUGAACUGGACCUGGAUAACUUGCUUCAUCACUUGCCACAACCAACAGCAUCGGAUGUGAGGCCCUGUAUCCUUCACGCUCAACAGACUUUGCAGGCAUAGGUUGAAUCUGCAAAAAUGUGACUGGAUCAUCGCGCCUUGAGACCAAUUCAGUGACACGAGAUGCAUCAUUGACAUCAAGAACUUGAAAACCAUUGGAAUAACCAAUAAGAAGAACACGUCUUAAAGAAGAACCAAGUUCUAUUCCGUCAAAGGAAGCCCAUAAAACCUGGAAAGAAAGCAAAGAAUGUUCUGGUCAGAAAGAAUGACAGAAUAUCAACCAAAAAUGUCACUUAUAAGAUCAUAAACAGGCAUCAUUUAAAGAGAAAAAAGAAGCAUUAUAGACUGUAAGAGUGUCUAAAUGAGAAGGGAUAUCAAAAGUUCAAUAUUCAAUAUUAACCAGAAAUAAAUGCAGUUACAAACAUCUAAAACUUUGCCAGAAGAGUUUUUUCAAUGCCAAGGAUUCUGCAGCAAUGGCAAAGUAGAUGUACUUCGACAGAACAACAUUCUGAUGCAUGGGAGUUGGCCCUCUUCUCUUAGAAGAAAGCUCGUCUACUCAGCACUUAUGAACAGUGAGGUCUGGGAAUCACAUACACUAGUUUCGACUAUUUCUUCAAUCUAUCUUUCUCCAACAGGAAGCCAAGCUCCCAGGUGCAACAGUAGCAAGCUUGCUGAUGGAGCGAGAUGUGCAAAUAUCCAAUAUUAUCUGUGUUUACUAUGGCAGUCUACUCCCCAAACAUAAAAUACUAAUGUAUCAUAUGAUAAUUUGAACAACAUAAACAAAGAAUAGGUAAAAAAUUAAACCACCUACACUUUUAAUCAUACAAUUAAAAUGAUAAUUAGAAGGAUUUGCAGCCACCACCUACAUAACUUUUCCAAACCUAUCAAAUGAUACAAUUAACGUAAGAUCACACACAGCAGAACAGCACACGCAUAUGCAUCCAUGAUCCUCUAAAUUAGCAAAAUUUGAAUACAGAUUACUUCAUAUCCAAGCAUCAUCGGUUAGAGAAGUUCAAUUAGCAAAACUUGAAUACAGAAAUCCUCGCAAUCUGAGGCAGGCUGACUACAUCGUGAUCAAGUAAUCAUUGAGAUUUCAAAGCUAGAUUGAGAUUUGAUAUGGUAGGACUUAGGCAUAUGAAGUUGUUCAAGUUGUCACCCAUUUCAAUUACACCUCUAUUAUCAUGUUUUCUCUUCUAGUCUUAAGCGAAGUUAACGUGGCAUAUAAGGUAGUCCAAGUUGUAUGUCAUUUCUAUUAUAGCCUCUAAUAUAACGUUUUCUCUCCUAGUUUUAAAAGAGGAUAUCGUCAGCGAAGUUUAUGUCAAAGGCAAUACAAGAGGAGGACAGCAAAUAUUUGAGAUGGCAAGUAGAUGACGUAAGGAGGGACACGAUUAGACAAUCAAAUCUGACAGGUUUUCAAUGCAGAUCAGGAAUACUUGCUUGUCAAAAAAAGAAAGGGCAGAAGCCUGGCAAGACAUCCAACAUAGUUAAACAACAUUUGGAACACGUGUUAUCCAUUCACUGAAACAACAAAGAAUAAAGGAUCAGAUGAUUUACACUCCUUCACGGGAAUAGGACACUCAUUUCUAAGCUGCACAAUUGCUCCAAUUGGACAAGCAGCAUCAGGACAUAUAUGAAGAACAUUCAACAGAUUCAAAAUUAUCCAAAUUUCAAAAAUUAGGAAUCUCAACCAAGGUAACUGUGGAUCAAAAGGGAAAAUUGUAACAAUCUCCAAAAUUCUACUUUAGGCAUAUGGUAUCGCCAUCAACCCUUUGGCGUCUGGUAUUUGAAAAUCAUUAAUCUCGUCCAGCCUAACAAAACAAGGAACCACUAAACAAUUAAUCACUUCAUUGCAAUGCACUAAGACCAGCGCUAAUACACAACUAUCCAACCACUCAAAUCAAAAUGUCACCAUUGUCACUGUCGGAACCAAUACAAUCUUUUGAGGAUGUAGUUAACUCUAGUUUUCUAAACAACUCAUUUGCAAUAUUUCUGUUUUCUUUUCUUAACAAAGUUUUUACAUUUAACUAUGAAAUCCUAUUCGUACAAUCUUCCUCUUAACUACAUCGUUUUCACUUCAAUCGCUGUUUUACCUACUUGCCAAUUUUCCCCAAGUUCUCCCACCUAAAAAUAUCCUCCUAACUACUUAAAAAACCUAGAAAUGUGGGUCAACUUCAAAAAAAGUCAAGAGCUUUUACCAAAAAGGCGAUCACAAUCCAAAUACCUAGUGCACACAAACAAAUACUGCAUACCAAGAAUAAAUAAAUAUUUAAGUUUCUCCCCAAAAAAAAAAAAUGAAUUUUUUUGACAGAUGAGCAGAAAAAAUACCAUACCUGGUCUUUGUGGAGAUCGUCUGACGAAUCACCGGCGAUAGAACCAGCGACGGAUACACCAGCAGACUUCACAUUAGACGACACCGUCUUGAUACAAGACGAAAUAAACUUUAGCGAAUUCGGUACAAAUCCAUUGGUCCGAGGCGAAGUCCCAUUCUUGCCAUGAUGAUGAUUAAUAGCUUUGAUAUUAUUCUGAUUAUUGAUGCUAUUCGAGGCUUUCUUCAUAAUAUAAUCACCGCAGCAAAAUCUUACCGGUCACCGGCACUUCACCGGAACUGAAAAAUAACACUAAAAACACCAACAAGUUUACUUCUCCUCCUCCUACUUCUUUCUUCAGGCCCUUGAGGCCGCCGCCUCCGCCGUCCGAUUCCGCCUCCGCCGUAGACUCCGCCGCUGUCCGCUGACGAGAAUUUAUUACGAUCAGAUUAUUAAAAAGCAUUAAUUUGAAGAAAAAUCGGUGUUCAGAACAGAGAGAGAAAACCGCGGCGAAGAGUUUUUGCGGAUGUUUUUCUUGUUUUUGUUUUAGUUGUUGGUGGUGGUGGUGGUGGGUGGUGGUUUUGACCUCGAGGCUUUAACAAGAAAGGACGUGAGAGACGGUUGCCAUUUUUUUUUUUUCGUUUUUUACUUUUAGCUUUUCUUGUGAAAUGGCCCAUCAAGUCUUUGUAUUCCUACUACUGCCCAACGUUAGUGCUUUACUCUCUUGUGUUUUAUCUCUUUCAUCUUCUCUUUUCUAUGUUGAGGAGUGAAUCUGUAACGUGUUAUAAUUAUAACUAUGGUAAAUUAUUAGUUUUAUUGUUUUUAAGAAAUUCAAAUUCAAAUUCAAAAUAGAUAUAGUGGUGUUUGCAAUAUAUAAUAUGUUAUUACUAGACGAAAGUGUGUUAGAAUAUAACUAUUAUUUAGCUAGAUAAUUAAGGAACAUUAAUCAUUCAAGUUUUUUUUUAUUGGGUGGUAAGUUAUUUGACUCACACGUUGAUAAAAAUGACUACCGUCAAUGAAUAUUCAAACAUACCCCUAUAUUCUAGGAAGGAAACAAAAAGAUCCAAGCUAAUGAUUGUUAUACAAUGAAGGUUUUACAUCUAUUAUUUAAUGACAAAUAAUUCAAUUAGCAUAAAACGCCCUAUGUAUAAUAGAAUAUUUCUUACAAAAAAAAAAACUCAAAUGCUUAAAAGCAAACUAAAUUUCAUUUUAGGUUUCGCCUAAAAUGAUAAUUAAGGUUUCACCUAAGGUGAAAACUCAAAUGGAUAAUUAAGGAACAUUAAUCAUUCAAGUUUUUUUUUUUUUUUUUGAUUGGGGUGGUAAGUUAUUUGACUCACACGUUGAUAAAAAUAACUACCGUCAAUGAAUAUUCGAACAUACCCCUAUAUUCUAGGAAGGAAACAAAAAGAUCCAAGCUAAUGAUUGUUAUACAAUGAAGCUUUUACAUCUAUUACUUAAUUACAAAUAUUUCAAUUAGCAUAUAACGGCGUAUGUAUAAUAGAAUAUUUCUUACAAAAAAAACUCAAAUGCUUAAAAGCAAACUAAAUUUCAUUUUAGGUUUCGGCUAUUAUUUCUACACUACAUGUCUUCCACUAUCAAUUACAAACACUAUUAAAGAAGCAUGUUAUCAUUUUUUGGGUCAUAAAUGGCAUUUUGAGAAUUUUUUAAUGCCAAGCAUACGUAACAUACAAUAUCAACUAUUUUUUUCUUUAUAAUUGUAAAUAAAUGUAAUGUAUGUGGUUUUACAUUUUUAAAUCUUCUGGUUGUUCAAUCUAUGGAUACUUUUGCUACUCAACAAUCAGCCCUUAUUUCUUUUAAAAAUUAUUUAAAAUUAGUAAAAAAAAAAAUUAACAACUUGAUUAUUUUGAUGAUAUGAAGUCGUUCGAUAAUUAAAAAAAAAAGUUAUAGUAGCUUAGUGCACUCGACCAUUUAAUAGUACUGUAUAUGAAUCUUUAUUUGAAGUCGAAUAAGUUCUAUCGCAUGAAAAUUUUACUAGUAAUCUCUAAAUCAUUAUUAACUGUGUUUAGUGAAGAAAUGAUAAUUUUCAUGAAUUGCUUGUACGUUACAAGUCAAACAAAAUCAUCCGGUAUUAAUGGGUCAAUUUUCUAAAUUUAUUAAGGAAAAUUCAAGCUUUGACAACUAAUGGAUUUUCAGUCAAGAAAAGAAUAUGCCAUCAUAAGUAAGAACUGAGAAGUUACCUUGGCCUAGACUUCAAAUUGUCAAAACCAGAGACGUUAGUUAUAUCACACCAAAGGCUGGGGAGGUUUGAAUAUGGGAAAUAAAUAUUUGGGGUCAGAAAUUGAAAGCGUGAGAAAGUUAGGUUACGUCACGACACGGACUGAGAAUAUCUUAAUUUAGAUGCGGAAGCAAACAUGGGAUUUACGGGAGUUCGUAUGCUUACGUUAUACGGAUCAUUUGAUGGAUAAUUGAUAGAAAUUUGAAAGCAUUAAAAAAAAAAAACACCCAAAAUGGAAAAGAAAAGGCAAAUAAUAAUAAUUUUUCUAAGUAUUUUAUACGAGUACAAUGAUAAUUAUACAAUACAAUGUACUAUGUACAGAUGUUGCCAUACUUUGACAUAAUUUAUUUACGUAGUAAAUGCUACCUUAACGGGUCCAUUCCCCAAUCCCGCAAGACACUCAAGCUACAUAAACAAAUGAUUACUCUAAUCAUUUUCUUUUCUUUUGUUUUUGAGGAAAAAAUUUUCAAAUAACUUUAGUUGCUUUAAUCAAUUGCUAAGGGAAAAAAAUGAUCUACAAAUCUCGAAUUCGAGUUUUACUAUGAUAUGUUAUUUUAACUUUAUAUAAAUUAAUUUUACAUUGUUAGUAUAAAAUUAUUUCUUGCACUACCAGGUGUUAGUGUAUGAUACAUAAUUUAUAUUCAAAAUUUAAAAUUUCCUUUUGAAAACAUGCUGCUUGUAGCCAAGUCCAUUGACUUUCAAAAAAAAAAAAGUUCCUAAUAAUAUAGGAAAGAUUGAUCCUAUCUAGAGUUCAUUUUAUUUUUUUUUAAUUUCCAAUUAAUGUCAUUUUUGGGUUAAGAAAGAUAAUGGCUUUUUAUUUUGUGGUUAUCGUAAAAUGAAGAAGUUUAUUCAAAAGCCAAAAUGGGUAUAAAACUAUAAAUUUAGCCAGGCAAAAAGGCUUCUACUUUCUUUUCCAUUUUCUUUUUUUUUUUUGGUGGUUGCAGAUGGAUAAUUUUCCAUAAGAGCCUCUAAAGUCCUAAGUGGUGGUAUGACUUUUAGCAGCUACAUCUUUAGAAAUGUGACAUCUCUAAACACUUCCCCCAUUUUUGGUUGGAAAUCAAUCCCAUGAAUGGGCUAUUUUUUUUUUAUUUCUUUUCAGUUACAUGAAUGGGUGGUCAAUUGAAAAUGAACUUACAAGUUUUAUAGCUUAAGCAUCAUAACAACUAUAUUUUAUAUGACGUUUGAAACUCAAGUCAUGCAUAAUGGAAUUUAAUAGUGAUAGUACCACCAACAUGGUUGUUCUAUUGACUUCAUGAGAACCUAGGCUAUAGAAGUAUUGCUAAAAUCAUCCAUGAUAACUCAUGCAUCCUUUCUGCUAAGCAAAAGUUGAGUAAACAAAGCCUUCAAAGGAAAAUGGUAUCAUCAAAUUGUUUGCCAAUGUAAUAGAUUCACUGCCCGCUUUAGCAUUUGCUAUUUCAGCUCCGACAGCACCAUGAUAUUGCUAUGGUAGAUCAGCUAUGAAUUCGCCCUAUAGAAGUAAGUUGACAUUUUAGUAUGGGUUUUGCAAAAGAUUGUUUGGGAAACAUGGCCAAGGGAUGAAUAACAAUCUAUCAUUUGCUUGGUCAAAAAUAACCAUCAUUGCUAAUUAUCCAUUAUCCACUCCUUGAUCUCCAUAUAAGAUAUUAUGGUUUGGGAUCCUCUUCUAUUGUUAGUGACAAUUACAUUAAAUAAUAUAAGAAUAACAUAAUAAAUAUAAACACGAAGAUAUUAAUACGCAAAAAUUGUAUUAGUGUUUAUGUACGAGUAAGAAACUCUCGAGGUCAAAUUGUUUGAGCCGAACUUCUUACCUGCGGACACAAAGAGAUGAAAGCGGCAAAAGAGUUAAGGCCCAUCCCCCAGGGUAACUCCAUUGCCUAAGUUAGAGGGCGAGGAAAGGUUGGAGUUCGGGAAUUAAAAGAGCUAAAAGGUGGAUAAUUGUGUGUUACCUUUGAGGGUGAAAAUGGUUGUAUCUAUAGCCCAAGGAAUGAGUAUGGAUUUCGAGAAAUCGAGAUGCAUUAUUGACAUUGCGAGGAGUAAUAGAUUGAUUAAGCACGUGAUUUUUUGCUGCAGUCAUAUCAGGCGACAGAAUAUUACAUCAACCACAGUUUGAUUAAAGGCACAAAUCGGUUAUGUCGAGUUUUCAGGAAUGUCACACUAUCGUAGUAUAAAGUAUUGUUAGCCGAGGCGGUGGCUUGGAAUCCCACGACCUACAUUCCAAGUUAACAUUUUUACACGUUAAUGCUUAUAGUUUUCAUGUUGUUGUUAUUAGUGUAUACCGUAUAUGGAGUACAUACUUUGCAUUAGUAUAUAUUGUAUGCUGUAAUUGUCACCGCAAUUGCAAAACCCUUGGUGCCAUAUAAAUAGAGGCUAAUGUGAGUGACAUCUGAGCAAAAAUCACUCCUUUUUUAAUUCAUCGUACAAAUUGCCAACCUAAAAUACUGUGGCAUUAUUGGACAAGCCAUCAAGUUGAAACAAUUGACUGUCGUCAUCUGGAUUAGAGAUAGCAAUCAGUGAAAUUCAUUGGCUUUUGAUCAACUAGUUAUUUUAAAAAAAAAGGCAUUAUAAUAUAGGAAUAUAAAAUGAGUAAAUCUUAUAUAUACUGACAGUAUAUUACUGUUGAAUGCGUGAUAUAUAGGACUAUAGGAAUAUAAAAUGAGUAAAUCUUAUAUACACUGACAGUAUAUAUAUAUGAGCAAAGUUUGGAAUUCAAAUUUAAAUUCUGAUAAGUUGUGAUGUAUUCAAUGAUGAUGGUGUUUAUAUACUGUCUGUCUGUCGGUGUAUAAAAUAUCAAUUAGUUCAUGUAAAAUUCCAAGAAUUCAACAACAAUAAACUAACAAUUAAUGAUUCUGUCAUGGAUCUGCAGGCUUCCAGCGUGUGGGAGAUGGAGUUAGUAUGUGGAUAUCCUUAUCGAAUGAUCCUUCGGAAAGAGACAGCUAGUGGGCUUAGAACAUGAUCGACAGGAAGAAACAAACAAUCUUUGAUAUCACAGCUAUUUUGUUUCCUCCUGCGGCUUUUUGGUUUGGACUGAAAUUGCAAAUUGAUGUUGUACCUAUGCAGACCAAUUCAUUGCAAAAAAAGGCAAACGCAUAUUCAUCCACUUCUCAUCAAAGAAAAGACAGGAUCAACAAGUUAUGAAUAGUGGGAAAUUCUUUAACAGUGUCAAGCUUCAAGAGAUCCACUGUUGGUUUUCUCAGAAAUAAAGCCAAAACACUUGUUCUUCUACCAUUUUUUUUCUUCAAAAUUUAGGUGAUAAAACCCUAGUAAUAUAAUCAACAAUGAUAUAAAUCCAUCAUUUUUCGAUAUGUAUAUGUGCUUCUAUGUGGGCAUACAUGAAUCUAUACAUGAGGCAAUCAAAUAUUUCAACAGAUUUUCUUCAAUUUUUUUUGUUUUCCAAUUACAGCAGUUCCACAAUUUUCUAAAGAAUGUGUUAAUCUGCAUGUGAAAAAAAGAAAGAAGAAAAAAGUUGCAAUUGCAUGCAUUUUUUUUUCUUUUUUGAUGGUUCAAUUGUAUGAAUAUUGUACCCGAAUCAAUCGUUCUCCCAGAAUAUGUUUUUGAGAGCCCAAUGGUUUCUUACUUUACGCCAAUUCCCAUCAUUCAAUAGAUUUGUCAAAACGUAGACAGUAAAAGGUCUUCAAAUUGAAGGCUUACACUUAAAUAGGGUUUCUUAUUUCCUGUUCCCUUCUUGACUUUUUUCUAAAUAUGUAGAAUCAGGAUAAAUUUUUAAUGCUAACUGACAAAAUUUUAGGCAAUGCGUGGGGACUAAUGAAUUUAAGAUAAUUAAAUUUAAAAGUUGUGAUAAUAAUUUUUUAACUUAAGAAGGGAAUUGCAUAUAUAUAUAUAUAUAUAUAUGAAACAUCAGAGGAAAUGUGAAAAUAUCAUAAGUUGUUUUAUUGAUCAUAUUCUUUUACGCCAAAUCUUCUGAUUUUGUUGAAUCCCUCUCGAAUUCUCCCCCUGCUUUUGUCAAUCAUUUUCUAAAGAACGUGUUAAUCUGCAUGUGAAAAAAAGAAAGAAGAAAAAAGUUGCAAUUGCAUGCAUUUUUUUUCCUUUUUUGAUGGUUCAAUUGUAUGAAUAUUGUACCCGAAUCCCUCUCGAGUUCUCCCCCUGCUUUUGUCAAUCAUUUACUGUUGGACGAUUUCCAGCAAUCUUAGUAAUGAAAAUUCUCUUUUUAUCAAAGAGAAUGAAAAGUAAAAAAAUAAAAAGACAGCUUGGCAUCCCCAAGUGAUUUUUUCACCAUAGAUAUGAAUAUGAUGCAUGAAGAUGACCAAAGAAUAAGACAAAUAAUCUUUUUACUGCAGUUGCGGAGUAAUUAAAAAACCCUGAGCACACUUAAGCACUGAAACUAAACAAUGGAAUGAGAAAAAUGGAACUCCACCAGCUCCAAGAAUGAAGCUAUAGCAACCAAUAUGAAACUACUAAAGAAGUUGUCAAAGUUUCAAAGCAAAAACAAAUUAAAGUCUGAAAUCAUGUGGUCAUCUUGAAGUUCGGCCAUUUAUUUGGUUCCUAUCUUUUUCGUAAUAGGGCUACCAAAAUUAGCUGAAUUCAUUGCCUAAUCUUAAAGCAAGAAUCAAUGCAUCUAAAGACUUAAGCAUAUUAAAGCAAGAACAGAAAGUCAUAAUCUAUUCAUAGUCCAAUAUUAUGGAGGAAGAUUGGAUGAUUUGUGAUGGUUUUAUUAGUGCUAGUUUGGUACCAAAUUAGCACAAAGUGGCUAUAGAAAAUUAGCCCCUAUUCUUCUUGAGAAUAUUUCAAGACGUAGUGAAGAAGAUUAAAGGGAUUUAGAAUAAAAAAUGGUCGCCAUUGUACUGUUUUAAAAUUAUCAUUUCUAAUCUUGGAUCUGGCAGUUUUGGUAGUGAAGACUGAACUAUUUAAUAGGUUUUGGUCUUAGCCUCUUAGCACCUUUGGAUUUCGCAUUGCUGAAAGCUUUCUCCCUCCUUUCGUUUUAACAGUAUGAAAACAAGAAAAACGAUUUCCAAGAGGGCCAAAAUCUUGGGGCACAAUAAUGUGCUGAGAUCUUGUUAGAAGUUUGACUGCGAAUACUGAAGUUGCUUGUCAAAUGUCAAAAUUAGAAAACCACGUUUUUUAAACACUUAAACAAAAUUUACCCACAUAAUUAGCCAAAUAAUAUCACUUAAACAAGUCCUUGUCUAAUCUCCCCUCCCCACCAACCUAGAAAAUCAUUUGUCUCUUCCCUUCAUUAAAAGGCAUUGGCAUUGACUAUGAGCCAGCUUUUAAACACACACACACACACACAUAUAUAUAUAUAUAUUAACAAUUAAGCUUCAUAAUCCAAAAUAUUUGUGCACCCAGAAAAAGUGGAAUCUAAUCAUUGAACAACUUUUACAUGAAAAAGAGAUUGAGGGCUAUCCUUGUGGGUUUUUAAAAAAAAGCCUAUUGUAAUUCUUAGCUAAUGAAUUCUCAUUUCCUCCACUUGCCAAUCCCGGAAAAAGUUUACAACUAGAAGAUGCCUUUCCAUACACUUUCCUCAAUCAGCUGAAACAUGUUAACCAACUAACUCUAGAGUAGCUGACUAUCAGGGAGAGGUUUAAGGUUCUCAUUGGGUGUAGGUCAAGGGAUUCUUCUCCAGGAUUUCCUGAACAAAUUCACCAAUGACGGUUCAAUCCCUCUAAGUUUCUUAUUAAUCCCCUUGAAUUCACUUCUUUCCCUUAGUGUAGAGUAGGAGUAGAAGUAGGCGUAAAAUCUAUCGUGUCGCCCAAAAAAAAAAAAAAAUCAACUGAAACAUGUUGAAACUUUUGCCUACUUGUUAAACAAGUUAACAAGGAUCGUGAAGGACCAGUUUCAGAACUAGGCAUCAUGAAGUACUAGAUUCUCACAUGAGACUUUGCCUAGAGUUCACUAAAAUUCCACUUGUUGAGCAAACUUGGAACAAGUAUAGCCAUCUGAGUUUUGGAUGGCCAAAGGGAUCCAGUAGCUCAGUACAAAUUCCUAGUUGUUGCCAGAAGAUACUUAGAUCAGCCCUGCCAGAAGAUGCUUGGAUCAUCCCUGCUUACUGCAUCUGAUUUGCUCAGUGCAAUGCAGCCGCUAAUCAGGUACUCGAUCAGGGCCUAGAUAAUCUCAUCAACUUGGACAGACUGUUUUAUUUAUGUGCAAGGCCACAAACCAUUUAGAAAAAAGCCUACCAUUUUCACAAAUUUUAGAAUUGGCUCUAGAGGCAGAAAAUGACUGACACUAAAGAUUCAAGAAGAAGACUUCAACCUGACUAUUGAAGUUGCUGUUUCAGGGGUUCUAAGCAGGAAAACAGCUACAUCAGACAUGCACGUCAAAAAAAGCGUAUUUACGGAUCAUCAAAUUUUAUAUGAACAGGAAUGUUUCUUAGUGCAGUUUGAAUAACAAAGUUUACAUGGCAUUUGAGUAAUAUUUGCUCCAAAACCUUGGUGCUUUCAACUGCCACAUAACAAAAACUCCAAUUCUGCAGGUUUACUAAGUAUAAACACCCACCAGAAAAUUUCCAAACUGCAGCAAAGGCUAUAUACAACAAAAUGGUAUGGGCCAUACAUUUGUCUCAAGUCUCAAGAAUUCAGAGCAGUUUGCGUAAGUUGAUUCACAUCACUUAAACACUUGGUUGAGUUGUAUUCAUCUGCGUCCAAUAGUUCUUCUGAGUAUGUCCUCCGCAGACAUCGAUCAUGUUUUUCCAUCAGAGAUGCUAAGGAGUUAACAUUACCUCUCAGCAGUGUUACCACCUGCGAAAAUUGAAAUAUAUAUUACUCGGGCAGUGGCCAGAUUGAUCUUUCUUAAAAUUUACUUAGUACUGCUUUGGACGUAUUUAGUGCAUUUCAAAGUGGUCUGAGGAUAUAGACUGACGUGUUCUAAAAGAAAAGAGAUAUAAGGAAAGAAAACCUAUUCAGUAGCAUGCCAUGAAAGUUUGCUAUAAACUAAUAUGAAGAACUAUAUAUCAAGGAUGCCAUGUUGCUGAUGUUAAUUUCUUCAUAUGAUCAAACUAGUAAAAGAAAUUAAAGCGUGUUGACAAAUUCACAGGUGCUAGCUUCCACCCUUCCCAAAAUACAGCUCAACAAAGAAGAAUUGGAAACAUUGAUCAUAUACACAAGCAAAGAAGAUGAAAUUAUCGUGAUUAUGCUUCAUUUCAUAAAGACAAGAACGCAAUUCCUUGACGUUUACCAUUCAUACAUCUGAUAACGCACAUUGGCAUUUUAGCAUUAUGCUUUACCUUGUCCACAUGAAAUACAUCAUAAUUCAUAAUUCCAAUUUGCAAUCUGGAUCCAAUAAGAAGUUGCCAUACAUGAAUGCCCUCAGAUAUUUCUUCCCAUUUUGGUCGUUCAGAACCAUUUUCCUUUUCCAAGUCUCUACUUGUUUAUUGAUGAGAAAAAGCCAUAUGCAUAACUUGCACAUCUUUUUGCUGAAAAGAAGAAACUGAUAAAAGAAGCUCUACUACUUGAACUUAGGGCAGGCAUAAACCUCUUCUGAUGAAAGACAUAUAAUAUAUGAAUCUCAUAUAGCUUUGUUGGAUUGACUCAUACGUAAUCUUCUUUUUCUUAGCUAUACUGCAAAUAUAAUAGUCAAAAACCUGUAAUUUUACCAUGGACUUUGCUUAUACAUAGAAAAUUUUCAUCUGCAGACCCACAUUUUGCAAGUUAUCGUUUAUAAUGUGAGGUUUAUUUCUACACAAUAAGCUUACAGAGAGCACCAAAAGAGUGAUGUUAUGGUGACAUGUUUGAAUAACAGAUCAACAAAGAUGCCCAAGGUUAAGACAUACCAAACAUUCAUUACUUUCUAUCAUGGCUGAUUUGAGCAAGUAAUUUUACAAGCAAAACUGCAUUUUCAAACGUUUCAGUGGAGGAACACAAUAUUAGUUUGACGAAAGACUACUUGCCUUCCUCAUUUGAGGCCGCUCAAUGGGAUUCUGUUCUAUGCAUGAAGUUGCUGUCAGAAUGACACGAUCCAUCUCUUCUGGAUUGUACUCAUUACCAAGAGAAGGAUCGACAAGCUCACUAAGAUUGUUGUUUUCAAGCAAUGGCUUUGCCUGCAUUUAGAAAAACAUAAUAAAUGCAAAAGAUUAACAUGAAUAAAUGUCCUCUACCAUAACAAAUUUACAUGAUAAUACCCAAAGCACAAGGCUAUUCUGUGAUUCAUCCAGGGCUUUGCGUCCUGUUAUGAGCUCCAAAAGCAGCACUCCGAAAGCAAAUACGUCAGUUUUCUCAUCCACAAUGCCAUUCAUAUAGUACUCUGGAGCAAAAUAACUGCCAACAAUAAAUAAGAGCAUAAGUUACUGUGCCCUUUCAUACUCAAGAUGUGAUUAACUGUUCAAAAAGCCCUUAAUUUUAGACUUCAGAGCUUACAGACCCAAAUGUUCCUUCGAACUUUGAUACAUUGCAAUGAGUCCACUGAUUUGGAAGCCAUUUUGCUAGCCCAAAAUCACAAAUCUAGAGUGAAAAUGGCUGAGUUAGUCAUUUAAAUAUUGAGUUCUAAAUAAAGAAAAGACAAAUAUAGUAAAUGAUUAGUGAGUUUGGAAGCAGGCUAUGGAAACAAACUAGUCUUAUUCUAAUUUUUUAAAAUCAGAUGAUACGGUGACAAGUAAAGAAGGGUUUCCAAACGGGUUGCAUAUAUAUACAAUGAAGAGAGCAGAACGGUUGUUAAUUGCAUUUUAGUCAUGGUUAAACACAAUGGUGAUAAGAAUUAAAACCAAAACUCUGAAAAAUGGAGCCAUAUCAGAUUUAAUAUCUAAUAGUGGGUCAAACUAAAAAGCACUUCCAGAUUUAAAGGAGAAAGAAUAUGACUGGGAUAUGCUGGAGGGAGGCAUAGGUAGGCAAUUUCUACUUGUUUUUGAAUUUAGACAUAGUUGUACAGACAACGAAACUAUGCCAACCCCAGAACUUAGGAACUAGGUGAUUACUUAGCAUAAAGGAAUCAAAGUCCAAAAAGCUCCAGGUGAUUUCAGGGAGGUUUUUAACAGACUCUUUAGACUUUUAUGAUUGUUAAGUAAUGGACUUAUAAGGAGAAUUUUAAAAAUUGGAAAGUGAAAAUUAAAUAGGCUCAUAAAAGCAUAAUCCAAAUGGAAAGGCCUAUGAGGCAUAAAAUGGUAGUGUUCUGAAAAUUGACUUUAUACAAGGAAAGACUUUCUUAUCACACUAGUUUCAUAUGUUCAAGUAUAGCUGUGCAGAUAGAGUGGCCUAAAAGGUACUCCUUUCCUGAAAAAAUGGCUACUUGGACUUCUACAUCAUGCCAUUUAGCAAAUCAAAGUAGCUUGCAUGGUGCCAAAAAUGUAGGAAAGUUGAGGGUUUCCUGUGGAAGGGAGAUGCUUAGAAAUGAGAAAAGCUGAAAAAUGGUAAGAUUCCAAUAAAAAAGCAAUUCACUUGAUGUGGUGAACUCUUUUGGUUCAAGAACUCCUGAAACUAAAAUUACUAAACGCAUAUGAUUUUCUAAGUGUAUCUCCAUUCACCCAAAUGGUUUCUCUAAUUAUCCCAUGAAGGAGGGAGAUUCAUCGUAAGAUACACAAUUCUACUGUUUGUAAGAGAAACUUUAUCUUUAGAUACUCCAAAAACUUAUACUAGUUGACAUGAAAGCAAGGUAUUGCACGGAGAUAAGGAUAUUUUCGAAGUGAUUCUAAAACCUUUCUUUAAGCUGUCAAUCCCCAAUACAGCAACAGCUCCUAAGGUCUUCCCGUCCAAAGAGUGCAGAGGAGUAUGCCAAGAUUAGACGAGUAACAACCCUUCGACCAUGCACUAUUUGAUGAAAUAAAGAAACAUAAAUUUGAUACGUGGUUGCAAGAAUGAACUCCACUGGACAAAUUAAAAGAAGCAGUAUCUUCAGACCUUUACAUACAUUAUUCAACAAUGCACGGACCAAACCCUGACUGUCUACACAAUGCAUGAAAGUCAGCAGCCGAAGGUAGGUACUAUUUUACAAUCCUAAAGGAUUGUACAUGACAAAUAUCAAGAAAAAACAAAAGUAAUUAAGGCAUUGGUGAAUAUGAUAGUUCUUAGCACAGAAGAUCCGCAAACAGGGAAAACCAAAUCAAGAAUUAAGACACAUCCCAUCUUAGAAUCUGCCAAUAGAAAAAACAAUUUAAAGCGUGAAGUCCAUGAUAUCGGAUUAAAGUAUCAUAUUGAACACCCUAAUCAAAUGGGGAUCCAAAUAAACCUUGAAACCAUGUUUUCUGAGCUACAAGAGGAGUCCUCUUUAGAAGUGUUCAAACCAUGUUCGUUCCACAGGUAUGAAGCACUGAACCAGGUAAGAUAAUGAGGAGAAGCAGAUGUUUGUGAUAAUGAUGAUCGUAAACAGUAGAUGAUAGAAAGAGAAAUUGAUGCCUUGAUCAUUUGGUAAUUUGAAUUUUUAUUCUUCUAUUGCUUUACAAGAUGAUGAUCUAAACUUUACUAUUAAUAUUUGUUUGACUACAUUUAUUGCCAGAUAUCCUCAGGCUAUAGAAUUGACCACAACUAAGCAAAUUAGGAGAAAAUAAAAGCUUCAUAUAUGCUUGCAUAACAUCAAGCAAACUUGCCUAUUCUAACAUCACUUAUGCGACUGGUUGGAUUUCAAUACUAGCAACUAAAAUCAUAUCAGUGCUUCUGCUAUUUAGCAGGUUGCUAGCGUAUAUCAAUGUAAUUUUGAAGUUCACCGCUACAGAUAUAUUCAUAUCUCAUGUUAGCCACACUUAGUGUGCUAGUGAAAGCAUCAGUUGAAGUUUCCUAAACUUCCAACUCUUUGAUCAUCUGUUAUGGAAAGCUGUGUUGACCAUUAUAAUCAAUCAGAAACAUCCAGAGCAAGGUAGUAUAAAUUAAGAUUAUCAACUGGCAUCAAACAUGGUAAGUUAAUCAGAAUUCCUCAAGAUCACAACAGAUAUGCUAAUCAAUUGUGCUUGCUUCCUCAGCCCAUUGCUUGGCUCCUGAAGGGUGACGCUUAACUCACGUAUUUGUGUAAUAAGCCAGAUUAGUUGGACUUAUUUCGUACAUUAGAACUAAAUAAAAGAAGACAACCCUAUAGUACUCUGAAGUUAUCUCAGUCUAUCUGCAAGUUCAGAAGUAGAAAUGUACCUGAGGCUCAAAAUCCUCUGUAAGCAGGAUAUUAUCAGCUUUGAUAUCUCUGUGGAUAAUUCUUCUUUGACAGUUUUCAUGAAGAUAAAGUAAGCCAUCAGCUGUGCCCAGAAUGAUCUUAUGCCUAAUACCCCAAUUUAACUUUUCCUUUGAGCCUGGAAAAAAAAUUAAUAAAUGGAUGAGAAACCUUAGGAGCAUAUGGGAACUAAAAAGUAAGUAAAGAAAAUUUACGAACCAUGAAGCAGCGAUCCUAAACUCCCUUGAGAAGAUAGCUGAAGAACAAGGUAAGUACCUCCUUCAACUCCAUACCCAAUCAUCUUAGCAGUAUUAGGAUGAUUGACAUGUGCUAUGAUGCCAACCUCAGACAGGAAACUUAUUAUCUGCUCCUCCGGUGUUCCCUUGUUAAGCUGUUUGAUUGCUACUAGCUGCCCAUCUGGCAAACAUCCCUUGUAAACUUCAGCAUAUCCACCCUUUCCAAUCAGAUUCUCUACAUAGAAACAUUAUUUUACUUAAAGACCAUUAGACUUACAAUUUGUAAUAAUUAUUUUAGUGACAUAUUACAAUGAACAGUAAUUAGUAAAGCAGAAAGAGAACUUUUGUGUUAAAGUAAAAAAACAACUCCGCAUGUAUAUUAGAAAAAAAAAAAAAAAAAAGUGGAGACCUCGGCUAAAGCUAUUAGUUGCCUUCUGGAGGUCUGCCAGAUUGAAGUUUUUCCAUUCAGACUUGACAGGGCAGCAAUCAUUAUCUACAUGGUCUCUUAAAGUUCUGCUCCUUCUUCGCGAAGCUAAAGGAGGGAAAGAAGGCAAUCUCUUUAUUGUACUCUUUUUCCAGAGUUCAAAGAAUUUGUGCCAGCGAGAACUCAUGCUUGAAUUUGAUUUAGAAGCUGUGCACCUAGUCCUGGGAGAACCUGAUUCAUUGUCCAAAUCUGUAACACAUGCUUCUAAAACUCCUCUUGGAGAACUCUCAUCAUUGUUUUCCCCAUCCAUCUCAAAACGUCUCAAGUCUACAGAAAAGACCAAUGACCAGCAAUUAACAAAUGCUAGAUGGACACACUAUGACGAAGAAUGAUUGACUUGAUUUGAUUGUACAACAAGGAGUAGACAAAACCAUGCUACCUUGAGCAGAAGCUGAAGGAAAGAGACAUGUGAAUUUUCCUGCCAUGGAACCUUUGCGCUCUAAGGCACUCUCCAGUGUGGUGCUAGGAUCCUCACCACUUUUCCUGCAUAAGCGCCGCCAAGAAAUAAAUUACCUAAGAUAAAAAGUAUAGAUUUCCAGUUUUCUAAGAGCAUAACACAUGUAAUUUUGCUUCUGUAAUGGGACUAGUAGCUUCACAUUUCAGAAAGAAAAGUAAAUCAAAAGGAAAUAUUCCAUGAAACCAUGUCUAUAGUAGAGGUGAAAGAUGACAUAAUAGGUUUCAAAUAAUGGAAAAUUACCAUGUCUAUUGGGAAAGAAAUAAUAGGUUUCAAAUAAUAGAAAAUCCUAUACCCACUCAGAACCUGAGAAAAGAAACGCACUGACUUCCAAUUUUGGCUUCGUCAAAGUCACAGACUGUCUAAAAGGAAUUGCUGAUACCAUAAGAAAAAAAUUUGGAAGGCACAUCGGCUUAAACAGAGGUUCCAAAAUGAAUUUGUCAGGACCUCCAAAGUUCUUGUUCUUCUCCUUUGGAAAGAAAUCCAGAACCAUUCAUGUUAACAGAGAAUCAUAAAUGAGUAAAAAAUUACUGAAUUCAUAAUUGAAGUUAGUAUUAAACACUGAUAAAGAUCCCAAAUGACUUCAUAGACAUUCUAAACCAAAAUAAAAAGAAAAAACUCAUAAAUCUUGUCCAGCUGCAAAGUUCUUAAAAGUGACAAACACAAAACACACACACACACACACACAGAGAUAACAUCACAGAAGAUCUUGAAAAACUCACUCCAAUGUUUCUGAGAGUCAACAAAUUCAUAAAACCGACUCCUUACCAACUCGAAAACUCUUCUGCAUUUAUGCUUGUGUGGGUGGUACACUCACAAAGACAUUACAGACAUAGGACAAAUUCUCAUUAAUGCAGCAAAAAAUUUCCCAAGAAACAGAAGCAAAUAAGAUAAUACUAAAAUGUGCGAAAAACAAAGGCCUAACUGAAAAUGCACCGGAUUAUAUAUAUCCAAACCAUUCCAACACACAAUACAAAUUGCAGUAAAUGUAUCCAAACCAUUCCAACACAAACAUACAAACUGCACUAAAUAUAUCCAUACCAUUCCAACACAGAAUACAAAUUGCACUAAAAUACCUUGCAGCAAACUAGGUAACAAUAGCCAAUGUCCUAGAAUACCAAAAAAAACCCCCCAAGAAAUUAACAAAAUCCCAGAAAGAUGGAAUUAAAGGGCUACUUACAAUUGUGGACGAGGAGGCAGCAGUCCAGGGGCUAGAAUAUAAUUAAUCAUGAAUCCACAGGCGACUGAAAAAUGUGCUAUUGAUAAACAUAAGUGUGAAACAUAUAAUUUACAGUGAGAUACAAAAAGGGUUCAUUUAUUAUGUGUUUUCAACUUGAAAAAACAGAAUCCAAAACGAUUCUCUCUUCUUCUUCUUCUUCUCAUGUAACAGCAGUACCAUCCCAGCAUUGCAUACAUCUUAUACUAUCAAGAUUCUUUUGCAUUU